This 54885-nucleotide long non-coding RNA is filed under the name Ananas comosus (pineapple). RNAcentral describes it as "long non-coding RNA (ACOM_LNC005502)". Lineage: Eukaryota; Viridiplantae; Streptophyta; Magnoliopsida; Poales; Bromeliaceae. The record is from RNAcentral.
AAUAUGAAACCUUAAAUCUAGCCUCAUAAAAAUAUUUCUGACUUAUCCUCCAAUUUUCAUAAUUUUCUGAGACUGUGCAUUUUCUGCUAAUUUAUCUGCCCCGUCUCUCACAGAAAAUUCUAAAUCUUCUGUUUUCAUUCCGAUUUCAGCACAAGUCAUUUCUAACUCAUAUUUCACUUCUCCAAAUCCAAUAAAAAUAGUAUCUCAUACUAUUUUUAUUUAUUUUUAUUUUUAUAUUUAAAUCCGGUAUAUUACAGUUGCAUUAAGAAAAUGGUUGUAACUUGGAGAUUAAAAAAGCAGUAUUUUAUAGUAUGUAGCUUGCUUUAUGUGUCUACUAUGUUAUGGAGAUCGAUGAUUGUACAAGUAGUAACUCACUGCUUCAUGCCGGCAGGGGAGGCUCUAACUAUGCGGCGGUUCUAACACGGCCGAGGCAAAGGGGAAUUCCACUGCCUAAGCUGGGGUGUGACGUAAUAUAUGAUAUCAUAGAAAUAUGAAAUUUAGACAUAUACCUAGAAAAUUUAACAACACAACUUAAAAAUUCAAGGUCUUCCAAAAAGAUUACAAAUAAUAGGCUAUUCAAAUUAGUGGAAGUUACUUCUCAAAUACUACUCAAGUUGUAGUUACACCCAACAUUCAAAUAGUAUAAUGAGUCCUAGUGUUUUUUAGUUUUCAAAAUAUAUAUCCCCAAAAUACCUUUAUUUAGGACAUUACUACUAACAACUCGAGGACUCACCUGCUCACUCCUUAUUUACCGAAAAUUAGUAAAUAAUGAGUGAGAAAACAUACUGCCUAAAAGUGGCAAGCUCCCCAACUAGGACUAAGAAUGAUAACGAAAAUAAUGUACAAUUAGUAUCAAUUUAUAAUCUCUACACAGUAUAUUCCAAGAGUUUGGGCUUUAUAUUGAGAUCCAAGAAUAAUCCAUGUAACUUACAAUUCAUAUCACUAGGGUAGCAACUAUCCAAAAUAUACACCUAUCAAAAUGUAUUAAUACAUGAAUGCAGUUGUUUCAAUUAUCAAGCUAUUGUGCGGGCAGCCACCAUCCCAAACAUAAUAAUAUGACAUAAUUAGAUGCAUAUGAAUGUUCCUAUCAUCAUUAUAAUGCAGACAGGCGGUUACUAUCCAAGUAUUAUUUUUAUGCAAUAUAAAUCGAAUCACACUUUGACACUUAGGUCACGAGUCUAUACUUGCUUCGUAUAGCCUAACCGGGUGGCCACCGGUGACUUCUCCAAAGAAGGCACUUUUUACUAAGUUGUGAUCCUUGUUAGAGGCAGUAGCGUGCAGUAUCUAUAAGCGCAAGCGACCAUCAUGUAAAAUAUUAUUGCUUCAAGAUUAUUAUAUAGUCUAUUUGACAUUGCACGGUCCACCAAUUACUAGGUGCCAAACAAGAAUAUGCGAUCAUAAUUAGAAUUAGGUUAGAAUACUAUUAAUAGCACCAAGUCAUUUGUGCUAUUAAGUUUUUGGCCCUUGGAUAAAGAGAUGUGUGGUUAGGAUGAUAGUUGUCACGACCCGCGACCACCCGCCUAUUUGGCCGAGUUCGCGGCGCCGCCGACAGACCGCCAAACGGACAGAAUCUCCCCUGUACAUCCUAGGCGUCGCAAUCAAUACAAGUACAAGAAGUUCCAACCAGGAACGGUAUUCAAGCAAGAUUGCAUAAGGAAGGUAUCAAACAACAUAACACAUCCUAUGUUAUUACAAGCAUUCCCAUUAGAUUCAUUUUUACAUCACAUUAGCAUUAUUACAUUACAUUUUCUUCCAAAUACAAUUAAUAAUCGCAAUAUUAUUACAAGUUUGCUCUUUUUCUUUUCCCUCUACCCCUAGGCUAUGCCGAUUCGGGGUACCUCUAUCUCUGGUCUCUGGGGUAGGGCGCUCUAUGGAGCUACGCCCUCGCCUUGCCCCGCCGCGCCGCUCACGUGCGAACCUGUAACACCCCAAAACAACGUGGGGUGAGAACCAACUCCAUGGUUCCCAGUGGGUACGGCCACCCAAGGGAAAAGCUCGACCAAUAGGUCUAAGGAGGCCCUGCAACAUGUUAGUCCAACAGAUAUCCAACAGAUAUAUAUAUUCAAGUAUUGAAAUACAUGUUGUGCCUCACAAUAUGCAAUAUGAAAUUCAUGCAGUUUAUGCAACCAUGCAACCAACUAGUAGUUCAAUCGAUACUACUUUUAUUCCUGUUAUUCACAGUUCAACCAAUUGACUUCUAAGUUUUCCUCUAUCUUAGAUUCUUGUCAAUUACAAUUCUGCUCAUAAGGUUUAACCUGCUUUCAUAAGCUAUCCACUCGACCCGGUCUUGAGUCAAUCAUACGCGGAAUACCGCACAAAGCCAGGCUCAAGGUGAAGGAUGUCUCACAUGCACCUCAGCCCUAAAUCCACUCAACUGGGAUGCAACUAAAACUCAUACCAUGCAUCAAAUAGUAAAGGUUUACUAUCAUGCUAACGAAUUCGAUCCAUGUUCGAAUAAUAAUGUUCAAUGACAUUGUUCACUGUUCUUUUACCCAAUCUGUAGCGAAGCCCUAGGGUUCGCCAAUAACUCACCUUUCAAUCCCAAAGUGGGGAGGGAGCUCCAAGUGCACCCAAGCCCGGGACCGUCUGCGGACCUCCAUGUGGUCCGGACCUCCAAGUGGUCCUAGUCGCACGACACUCCGGAGUACUCGACGACAAUCCCCUCCAUGUGGGGAUUGGAUGGCUAUACCAUCCCAAACGCAGACUGUGAGCUAGAUCUAUCCUCUCCAAGUGAGGAUACUCUACAACUAGGGUCCACAACCCAAUCAAAUCCUCUCCAAGUGAGGAUGCCCUACAACUAGGGUCAAUAUCUCAAUAACUCAUCGACAACCUCUCCAUGUGAGGGUACUUAGGUUUACUAAGUUCUUUAUCCACAAGGUAUUUUCUAAGAGAUUCACCUAUCCCUAGGUUCACAAACCUCUAGUAUCAAAUACACUACAUUAAUGCCACUCGAUAUAUUCUUAUUUUCCAAAGUCAAUUUCUCUAAUCGACCAAGUUCAACAUGCAUAAUUCAUCUACUAUAUUCCGCAAUAUGGAAAUAUGCAUAAUUCUUCUAUCAUAUGUAAUAUAUGUCAUCAUGUAUAUGUUUCUAUUUAACAUAAUCCACAAUAUGUUAAUUCACAACAUGUCAUCAUGCACAUAUAUUACUAGCAUCACAUGAUAUGUCAACAUAUAUAUAAUCAUCAUUCAAAGUAGUCUAUACUUAGCAUCUCAUACAUUCUUUUAGCAUUUAAUUCAUUAUACAUUUCAUCUCAUUGGUAGGUAAUAUCAACUACAUAAUGUGUUUCAAGUAUUCAUAUUAUCAUGUAAGCCUACCAAUACAACUAUAUGCAUCAAUGUGAAUUCAUAUAUUUCUUAAACAUAAAGGGCGACCUAAUCGCUUCGGUAAGCACAACCCACCUCAUUUCGCAUUCCGAUUGCUUGUCGACACUUGCAAUCGGCCUCCCGCGGCAUCCGGUGCUCAGUUCCGCCGGAACUUGCAAUUGCGCACCAACCGCGCAUCGCUUCGCAGCCUUGGGCAAAAAGGGUCUUCGUUUUGUUGUUACGGUGCCUCAAAUCCGAUUCCAUGAUUUUACGACGUCGCCUCGGCCCUCCAGGCGGAAAUGAAGACUAACGUCCGUUUCUUUAAUAACUUCACAACGGCUCGACGAAUCGUCGAACCGACUUCGCCAACGCGUUCGUUUACCUAGCAAUUAGGUUUACGGAGGGUCAAAUUAGAUCAAACCCUUAUAUUUUACAAAACUCCAUUCGGAGCCCUAAUAUGCAAUUAACCUCCAAAUAAUCCAAAUUAAAUAGAUCAACAUGCUAACAAAGCUCAUUAGAGGCUAUUAGAACACUUAAAGCUAAGGAUUAAUCCAAAUCCCAAAAGGUUACCAUAAUAUGAAUACCGCAACGAAAACAUGCCGCUCCAACGGGCGCACGAAAGCUCGAUCCGUCGCCUCCAACGCGUUCGCAAGCAUCUUCUCCACCAACGCCGCGAAUUUGAGCGAGAGAUUUGGAGAGAUAAGAGAGAUCUUUAGAGAGAGAAAGGAGAGUUUCUCUCUCCCUUCCCAUGCGUGCAUGUGUCGCCAUGGUGGGCUGAGGGGAAGAAGAAGCAAUGGCUUCUUUAUACAUUAACACCCCAAAACACUAUUUAUUUCCGGCUAGUUUAGCAGUUCGAAACAGUUGGAGCACUUCUGAAUAUCCGUUUGGGUUCAAAUUUGACAGGCAGGCUCGGUUUAAUGUACUGAGUAAGAAUAUAUCUUAAGUUUUCAAUUUCGACCUUAUUUGGUCACUAAAAACUGUACCGAACUGUAAUCUUUAUUAGAUAACUGUCAGAUUUUAUUUUCCACCUUCCGGGUGUCAAAAUGACAUGAAACUUUAAAUCUAGCCUCAUAAAAAUAAUUCUGACUUAUCCUCCAGUUUUCAUAAUUUUCUGACACUGUGCAUUUUCUGCUAAUUUAUCUGUCUCGUUUCUAACAGAAAAUUCUAGAUCUUCUGUUUUCAUUCCGAUUUCAGCACAAGUCACUUCUGACUUAUGUUUUACUCCUCUAAAUCCAAUAAAAAUAAUAUUUCAUACUAUUUUUAUUUAUUUUUAUUUUUAUAUUUAAAAUCCGGUAUAUUACAUUCUACCGCAACCUUACCGGAACCAUUCAAAUGGCUUUCCAACCAAAUGUACACCGUAACUUCAUAAUUUUAGAAGUCCGGUACCUUACAAUACUAGUCCCCUAGGGUUGAAUAGCUGGUUUGUUGAAUAUUAUUGUCACGCCCCGAGACCGCUACCAAUUUGGUCCGGUUCGGGCGCGUCGAACAGAUGCCGAACGGACAGCACCUCCCCUGUCCGCCCAAGGCGAAACAACCAGAUCAUGUACAGUUAAGCGCCCAGGGAAUGCUUAAUUAACAUACACGAUCGAACACGAUGCACACAGGUGCAAUACAUCUAAGAGCAAGAACCACAAGUAAUAUACAAGUGUAUAAAGAGAGAUAGCCUAACUAUUACAACCAUUCAACAUUUACGUCAUUUGAGUAUUUUACNCUCGGGAGACCGGUUCCUCCCCAAGAGACCGGUUCCCGAGAACUGGAAUCUCAGGACUUAGCCAAUUUUUGGCUUUUCUCGCUGGGUUCGCGUUCGGGAACCGGUCCCUCCCUGCCAGGGACCGGUUGCCUCAAGCAACCCCGCGACACCAGCUGAUGAGACCGGUCCCUCCCUGCCAGGGACCGGUCCCCGAGAGCAAUUUUGCUCCAGUGCAAGUUUUGCACUAUUUGCUCUCGUGGACUCAUUUCCAAUGCACCUUUUGGUGAUUUUAACAUCUUUGGCUUUUCCAAAGCUUACCAACACGACCCUUGGUCGGUUUUACAUGAAGUCUAACUCUCGUAUUUCGAGAAUUCACUUCCUCACAACUAUGAUCUAAUGUGUAGAAAUGAUCCGGGUGAUAGAUCUAACGGCAUAAAACUUAGUAGCACCAAGUGCUAGAUGUUAUCGAUAGCAUUGUAGCCAAACUCUUAUAAUUAUUUGUAAAAAGUAUGCUACUAAUCAAGAUAAAAAUCAUGUACUAACAAUGCAUAAAAGAAGUUGCACUUACUAUCAUUAUGAUGCAAUCAACUACAUGUAUGUAAUGGUGUCAAUUUCCAAAAUGAUCAAGGUUACAUCAUAAUUAGUAUUAGUACUGUGUGAACUAUAACACAUCUCAAACAACUUCUACAGACGCCCUACACCUUUUAGAUCCUACACCUUUAGAACCUACUCGAAUUUAAAAUUUUCUGUCCGGAAUUAACUUUUCAAAAAACAUACUCAUCAUGAUAGAUUUCUAUCUGAUAGAAAUAUUUUUAUUUAGUACAUGUCUUAAAAUAUACAGAAAUAUAUUAUGCCUGCUUUAGUUCAACAUAAAAAUUACCGAACUAUAUCAACAAAUUACCAUAAUACCUUUUUUUUAUAGAGACUGAUAUUAUAUAUAAUUUUACACUAAAUUAAUCAUAUAAAAUUAUUAACAAUUUGAAUAUAAAAUCUAUUUAAAUAUUCUUAAAUUGAACUUUUUUUUAUCUGUUUACUCAAUUUAAAUUUUUGGAAUUGAUAUAGAUGUUGCAAAAUAAUAUUUCAGUCCUUAAAAAAUUUUCUUUGAAAAAGAAAUUUACCAAUGGAGGAGGUGGGUUUUUAAAUCCAAUGUUUUGAGAGAAUGUAAAAUUCCACAAAACUUUUAAACUUUUGCGAUGUCAGAUUCCUGCUAUAAAAUAAACAUGGGAUUUCACAAUUUUGAUGUCUCAAUUUCAUGUAUCUUAAGGAUAUAAAAUCCUUAAGAAUAUGUCUAGCGUUAGCUGAAAUAUAUCCUCUACUAUUCACAAAAUCACAUUCAUGACAGUAUCAAGGACCAAGGCUGCACUUAAAGCUUAUUCUGGGGUUUCUUUCCCGGGGUGCGGGAUAGACGGAGGAAACAGUUGUGGGAUAGAUGGAGGAAACAGGCAAUGGAGAAUUAGAGGAGGAAAGCCAGGAGUCUUAAAUAAUCAGUGAUGUGGAAAGGAUAGUUGACACUAAAUAAUCUAAUAUUUGGAAGAACAAGACUUUGGUUGUUUAAUAAAUAGGAUUGCUGUAGACUCUCCGGCGUAGAAGAUUGCAUGGUCAAUUUAAUUGCUUUUAAAACAUGAUUCGCAGUCCUGUAGCGUCCGAAUAACAGGAGCAAGGAAGCCAGGUUGGUGUUCCCGUAUUAAAGCUAGGUUGGCGUUCCCGUAUUAAUAAAAUCUUGCUAACCCUUCGUAAGAAAAAGAUAAAUAUUUUGAUUGCCGAUUCCCAUUGCAAACAAGCAGCUUUGGUAAACGCUUUCUAAAUGGAAAGAAAAUAAGGCUUCUGCACGCUUGCCAUGAGAAGUAAAUUAAGGCUUGCUGCAGGUAGAAACGAAUGCUUUUCCCUCUUUGGUGACUAUUCUGGGGUAGACCACCAGACUUAAAUACGGGACGUCCAGCCCAAGGGCUGCAGUGUGGACUGUUCUGACUGGAUUUGUAAAACGUAGAAAAUCAAUUGAUUUUCACUAAUUAUUCUAAGAAUGGCUCAAAUUUUGGCCGCUGAAAUUUAACGAUUUCGACUCCUUGCCCAGUGUAUUUCUUUUUUCACUUUUUUUUUUUUCUGUUUUCCCCUCGAUUUUACUUACUUAUUUUCGAAUGUUUUUUUUUAUCCAUCAGUUCACUUCUGGAAGAAUAAAAAAUAUAUAUAAAAAUAAAGAAAUAAAAAAUAUAUAUAAAAAUAAAGAAAUAAAAAAAACAAAAUAUUUUCGAUUCCCUUUAGCCCCAUAUUAUUAAGUCUCGCAUAAAAUUGGAAUACAACGUCAACAUUUCCACACAACUGAAAUUAACUCUUAGGACUAAAUAUAAAAACCGGAAGAUCAGAUGAAAAUAAAAUUCGAAGUUUGGGGACUAUUGUUAUAACAAAAUUAAAUCCUGAGUCAUACUCCAGCACAAAAUUUGCAGCUGACACUUGCGGUAAUGCAGUCAACAGUAGAGUUAAGACAACAAUUAGUAAAAAAGCAAGAUAAAAAAAAGAUAGUUACACAAACUAGUAAAUAUUUCCCCGAAUUACAGAGAAAUUCAUGGCUUGCUGAAAAGCUGCUGCAUAUUCUGAAAGUUGAAAAUUAAUGCAUUUUAGAUAUUGUAAACUGCGUGACAGCUACGCAUCUCUUACUAUGUUCAGAAUGUCAUGAACAUCUUCAAGCCUCGCGGAAAAACCUGCAAAAUUAUAACGAGGUGAUGACCUUGUGAUACACCGUACAAAAACCAAUAUUGUCAAGGCCCGACCAGAUCAGCCGAUUGAAAUGCACUCUAACCCUGCACCUUCAUUAUCAGCUCAGUUUAUAUCGAGCCCGCGAAUUCUCCAGUUCAUAUAGAACCCAACAAUUUCCUGAAAACCCACUGAACCAAACAGUUCAAUCAUUAAAGCCAGUCGACAAACUGUUUGGUUAUAUUGAACCGACCAGGCUUUUAGGAACAAAUAUUUUUGUUCUUGAAUAUAAUAAUAAAGUAAAUUUCUGAACGAAAUUUCUUUAAGAGCAGCGAAUCUCCACGCUCAAUAUUGUGAUUUUCUAUGUACUUCUUUAACCAGUACAAUUUUUUUCUUUCUUAUUUCUAAGAAUUUACUGUACUAAAUAAAACACUUGUUUCUAUAUAGAAAAAUAUAUUUUGGAUACUACAGAAACAGUUAAGAGUACUGCGAUUACCAUCGUCGUGCACUGCAUGUGGAUCUUCAGUUGGACCAUACAACAUUCUGACCCUAUGAUGUUCCAAGCUUUCCCUCUUCUUGUUCAGUUCUGAUAUUUUACAAUGCAGCACUGGAAGAGCUCUCGCUAUAUCUGAGCAAAAACACAAUGCCAUAGGAAAAAAAAAAAAAAAUAGAUCAGCUUUUAUUUCCAUAAUUAAACAAGAUAACACGUAUGAAAAAUGACCAGACUAUAUUAAUAUAAAUAAGAGAAUUUACUUGCUCAAUAUUAUAUGUUAUUUGAUGCUCACAGAAGUUGCUCUAUAACCAGAUCCCAAACAGUCAAGUAACAUUAUACAGUUUCUAUGAAGUCACGUGGAACUUUUAGCCACUUGUUCACUUCUAUAGUCUCCCCAUAUAUCUAAAAGUUAAGCCUCAGUGAUACUGAGAGUGACAUUAUUGGAAUUCAAUGCCCGACGACCUAACAUAAAUAAUGCUGGGAAAGAAUUGACAUAAAAAGUACAUACUUUUGUGAAAAUGGCAGGUAAACCAGCAGACUUUUGAUUUUAAAGAACUAACUGCAAAUUUAUAAAGAGAUAAAAGGUAGAAUAUAAAAAUCAGAAAAGCUAAAAUAAAGCCAUUUCCACGCAUGUUUGACAUCCACAUGCAUAAAUGGAUGCAUGUAAAAUUUGAGUAGCCUUUUACUGUUUUAUUUUGAUGAAACAUGCACUUAAUGCACUAGAGAAAUAUAUGGAGCAAAAAAACAUGUAAGCUUCCUUCAUUUUGAAAUGAUUGACUCAGUCAAGCACGAUCUUACAAAUUACAAGCUUCUGUAAACAAACUAAAGGGAAUAUAUUGGCAUGUAUUUCAUGUCCACUACAAAAUAGCCACCCAUAAAGUAAAAACGAGAUGUGUGGCAAUUGUAUGAUGAAAACCCUCCAAAAAGAGAGAGUACCUUAAUGUCGAGGAUUCCUUGCAAGUUACUAUUUCAGGCAAUGCAUCAAUAUAGCAUGGCACUAAUGCUAGAGGGAAAAUUCAGAGUUCUAGCGCCUCCUGAGCACAUAAUCAGCUUUGAUAAGGUCUAUAAAGCAACAAUUUGCUUAAGUAUAUGUGUUAUUUAUAAAAUUUUCUCGCCAAUAACACAGUUUUCUCGACAUAGAACUGUGCUACAGCAAAUCCAAAAAUUAUUUCAGGAAAAUUUGAGGUACAAAUAAAACUAGGAUCAAGAUAAAAGAUAAAAGGAAAAAACUUUAAAUAGAAAUGUCAAUCCUAAAUAGUCCCACAUUGGGAAAUGAUGGGAAACUAUAAUGGUAUUUAGGAAACUAUAAUGGUAUUUAGGUGCUUUUGUAUUAGUAUGAAACUACGAAUAAAAUUGGACAUAAGCAUUGGCCCAUCAGUCGAGUCAACCAUUUACUAUACUAGAAAGCUAGCAAUGGUUUGUGAUAUAAGAACUUCAGCUGAACUUGGUUUGGUUGAAUAAAACUAAAGGAUCUCUCAAAGGCAAUAUAAUGACCGUACACAUAAUCUUUCAAAUAGUUCACUGACAUGAAAAUAUGAAGAAUGGAGAUAAAGAUGCCAACAGGAAGGAUAUAGUUGGCGUUGCAUAGUCAUUAUUCUAAACCUCUAGCACAAGCCCAUUAACCAGAGGUAUGAAAUAAAUUGUCGAAUUCACUGGGUUACCUUGAAACAUCUCUUGCACAGUGCUCUCCUCAAAUAUUUGCUGCGCCUCAGCAACAGUUGCGUCAUAAUUGGUGCAGAAAUGGGACUGCUUUUCCAAUAAGAAGAUCUCGUUUUGUAGUUCUCCAGAUUCCUUUCCAAUCUGCAGAUACAAUGCAUGCAAUUACUUUGAGAUUUAAACAGCUCUUAGUAAUUAUUGUUGAUAUAUGUCUCUAUCCCAAACUAUUAUCUAUUUACAUACACCCCUGUAAAAUCUGAAUUACUACGUGCUUUGGAAACUUGAUUUUUUACAUAAGUAUCUUUCUAGCUACAAAACUGCCCACCCCUCUACCAGUGAAUUGAAUGGCCCCCAACCUAUUCUCAAGGUUAUUCAUACAAUACACUAUUUGACAAUCCUACAUGCCACGUAGUGUCCUCUCAUUCCAUAACUCUUCACUUUUCGAAACGUCACUUUCUCUCUCCCAAUUCGACUCUUCACCUCCUGAAAGGUCUCUCUCCCUAAGCAUCUCUCUCUCUCUACUCUCUCUACAUAGCCCUCUCUUUCUCCAUCUGGUGGCUUGGGCGGCGACAGCGAUGGCCACGGCGGCAGCGACGGCUUGGGCAGCGUCAGCAGCAAUCACAGUGACGACGGCGACUUGGGCGGCGUUAGCGGCGGACACAACGGCGGCAACUUCGGACAAAAAAAAAAUAUACAGCUCUAUCUCUCUUUCUUUUCUUUUUCUUCUUUUUUUGUACUCUUCUCCUCUUUUUUUUCUUCUCUCAUUUUCUUUUCUUUUAUUUUAUUUUACUUCUUGUCUGAUGACAGCGGUGGCAGCUUGGGCGGUGCUGGCGACAGCGGCGACUUAGGCGGCAUCGGCAGUGGACACUUCAGAGGCUUGGGCAGCGACGGCGGCUUGGGUGGCAUCAGCGGCGAUCACGACAACAACGACAACUUGGGCGGCGUUAGUGGUGGACACGACGGCGGCAACGUUAGACAAAAAGAAAAUCCAAAGCUCCUACCUCCUUUUCUUUUUUUUUUUCUUCUUUUUCUUCUCUGUACCCUUCUAUUUUUUUUUAACUUCUCUUACCUGGGUAUGUGGAUCCGUAUGUGAACUGGGGGGGACUGGGAGAGGCAAUAGGAGAGGAGGCAUUCUUAAUCGCGGUGGCACAGCUCAGCGACGUCAAUUUGACCUCAAGAAAGGUCGACAAAGCACGCAGCACGACUCAGCGACGUCGAUUUGGCCUCGAGGAAGGCCAACGAAGGGGGUGAGUUGAGAUUUUUUAUUUUUUUUCGCAAGCUUUCGGCGUCAAAUCAGAUUUUUUUCAUUGUUCUUUGAGACUUUGCAUGAUUUUUAAAAUUUUUGAUUUUAGGUAAAAAAUUAGCAAUAAUAUGUUAAAUUUAAAUGCCUAUCAAAAAUUAACAAAUUUUUUAUAUAAAUUAUCCACCUUUCUUCUCAAUUUUUCAAUAUAAAGUAUUUGAGAACUAUGCCACACUUUGGAAAAAGUAUUUACGAAAAUCAUUCUAAAGAAAAUAAAAUUUUCACUACAAGAAUUUCAUGGUUUGAUGAUUUUUCUGUUUGAGAGCUAUGUUUAAUGGCUUGAUGAUUUUUUCCUAAAGAAAACUAUAUUGUAUGGUUUUACGUCGAACCAAAUACCUCCUUAGGUAUUAUUUCUUUAAAAAUUGGUUAUUCUUUUUCACAUGUUUAUUUUUAUUUUUACUUAAUUAGUUCUCUGAAAACAUUACAUUUAUAUUUUAAUGAAUAAAUAAUAUUUAUAUUUAAAUACAAAAUUUUUUUUUUUUUAUGUCAACCCGCUGCGAAGAGCAGGCUCCUUCACUAGUAUAUAUGAAGUUUCAGAUUUUCCAAGGGUACACAUGUAUAAGCCCCUUUUAUUUUAGUUAAGUAGCAGGCUGCUUACUGUUGAAAGUUUCUCCCUCAUGGAAUCUAACCAAGCAUCAGGUUCUGCAUCAGAGAGCUCUUCUUCAAGCAGAACAUCUUUAGUGGAUAAAUUAUUCUGAAUAAGAAAAAAGAAAAAGGACAAUAUUUUAGCCAUUGUGCAUGACAAUAAAAUAUCAUAUUCAAUGUGAGGAAAUAUGAGAAAAAGGAAAUAACGUAGCCAAACUAUUGACCGCACUAAAGCAUUUUUUUGCACGUAGUUUUCCCUGGGAUGCAUUUGAACGUACUGGGAAUCAAAUAAGCUUAUUAGGAGGAGCCUUCUGAGAUAUAUUAUUCCAGAUAUUUAAAUAGAAUAUAUUCAAGCAAUUACAAAUAUAUAACAAAGUAGAAGAUCAAAUUAAGGGAACCCAAUUAAUUAGAACAAUUCUGCCUCUAGUCCAGCAUAAAAUGAUUCAACAUGCAAAGUCUGUUAUAAGAUGCAUUCCUAACGCAUAUUAGGCCUUUUGAGCAAUUUUUCCUAAAUGAACAAUGUGUAUAGACUAAUUAGCCAGAGACUGAAAGUAAAUCAACAUGUAUAGUCUGUCAUAAGAUGUAUUCCUAAUGCAUAUUAGGCUUUCUUAGCAAUUUUUCUUAAAUGAACCAUGUGCAUAGACUAAUUAAAUUUAUUUAAAUGGCGGCCCUAGAUCAAGUAGGUGAAAAAUUGAUAACAACAGAUAAAUGUAAGAAAAAUAGUGGUGAAAAUUUUAACUCGAACAUGUAAACAAACUAAGUCUUUGCAAGAAAAGACCUACAGCUUUAGGCAACGCAAACCCCUCAGGAACAGUAAAACAAUGCCUAAGGCAAUAUUUCUCCCAACUGUCCAUUCGCUUAUCCAAAAUAGUUUUUGCCAAGUGACGAAGGGCAUAAACACCCUACAAACAAAAAUUGAUGAGAAGUUAGUACAGAUCAGCAUCAACAUCAUUUUAUAAGAAACCAUAUUACUACUACAUAAUAGUAUUCUGCCAACAAGCAUCAUUAUUUGAAGCAGGAUUAAAAUUAAGCUGGUUAACAGAAGGUGAAAAAUAUCAGGUGGACUUGCUUAAUUAACUACUUAAGGGAAAGCAGUCCAUAGACUUCAGGCCUCCUUCGGCGUUGUUGCUAGUUUAUUUUUUUCGCCCCUUAACACUAAUUCUAUAUAAUUUGAUAUACCGGCAAUAGGACUUUCCUCUUGUUGUCAUGGUUUGUAAGCUUGCAAUACCACCCAGCCAGUGAUGACUGAUGAUGACUUCUUUAAAGACAGCCCAAGAAGCAGAAAAGAAAAAAAGUUGUUCCAAAGUUUUUGUUCCACCAUCCUCUCCUACACUGUUUCAUGAUUCUAUAUACUUUUUUCUUGUUGUCAUAAUUGAUUAGAUUGCAAUAUACCCCCGCCAAGUGAUGGACGACAACUUUAAACAAAAAAGAAAGGAGGGGGGGGGGCGGAGGAAUUCCUAGAAGCAAAAGGCAAGUUGCUUCCAAGGUUUUGAAUUACUUGCCAAACAAACAUCUUGGAUGCAAUUGUCCCUUCCUACCACUCAUAGACUAAACAAGCGCGACUUAGGCGUGCUCCUAGGCACUAGGCUCAAUGGCCAGCGCCUAGGCAGCACCUAGGUGGGUACCAUUGCCUAGGUGCGCACCUAGGGCAAGGGGCAAGGCGCAAGGCGCAACGAAGGCACGCCUAAUUCAUAUUCGAUCCUAACGGGUUUGGAUCUAGAAAUAUAUGCUCUAAUGGGUUUGGAUCCUAUAUUUAUUGGUCUAAUGGGUUUAAAACAUCUAAAAUAAACCCUCUGGAUCUAGAAAUAUAUGCUCUAAUGGGUUUGGAUCCUAUAUUUAUUGGUCUAAUGGGUUUAAAACAUCUAAAAUAAACCCAAAACCAACCUACUAUCCGCUCCAUUCCCUCUCUCCGUUUAGUUCGCUCCCUUUCCGGUCCCUCCCCCUCACUCCUCUCAGACCGGUCUCUCUCCCUUUCUCAACUCGUAACACUCAUCCCUCUCUCCCGCUCGUCCAUCACCUCCGAUUGCCUCCGGUUCUCUCUCUCUGCUUAUUCAACUCGACUCGCCUCUCCCUCUAUGGUGUUCAUCUUUCUCUCCUUUCCUCUCUCUCUAGUUUCUCUCUUGUGUAUAUGUCUUUGUUUUUUUUAAGCAGUGUUUUGUCUUUUUUUUUAGGCAGUGGUUUUCUUUGUUUUAUUUUUAAAAAAAAACAGUAUUUUACUUUGAUAAAAUGAACUUUUUAAAGUUUAAAAAAGUUUUUGAAAGUUGAAAAUAAAAAAUGAUCUUAUAUAUUCACCGAAUUGGAGUUUAAUUUAUUGAAUGGAUUCGAAAGCAACCGAUAGAGAUCCUGCAUGGAAGUAUGUACAUUUAGCAAAUUUGAAAGUAAAAAAUGAUCUUACAUAUAAUUUUUUGCGGAAAAGUGACAAGAGAAGGGAUAUACCGAGCAAAGCAGUAUAUUGUUGGAGGUUUCCAAAAUGCAAAAGCAUCCACGAAAUGUCCGCUGCAUGUGAGGGAGGAAAUAAAAGAUUUUAUGAUAAAGAAAGUGACAGAGAAGGAACAAAAUGAGUUCAUGCCGGAUUUUGAAUAUGCAUAUCACUUCAAUGACAAUGAAGAGGGAGAUGAUGUUGCGGAAUCGAACUCUGAAAGAAAAAAAGUUCAAAGCAAAAGUAGCGGAUGCAGUAUUGGUAGUAGAAGUGCACCCAAAAAACCAAGGCAAAAGGAACCAAUGGAUUUGUAUUUCACUCCCAAUGCAGAGAAGAUAUUUCAAGACAGAAAAGAUGGAAAAAUGAAACAAACUACGAUUAAUGAAGUUUGUAGGAAAGAGUUGAGAGAAAAUUGGUGUAGAGAACUAGCUAGAUGGUUUUAUAAUGCAAGAAUACCUUUCAAUGCUACUAGUUGUGAUAGCUUUCAUGCGGCACUCGAACCUGUUGGACAAUACGGCAUUGGUUUUAAACCACUUUCUAUUUACAAGUUACGAAUUCCUUUUGUUCAAAAGAAGGCUCAACAACCGAAGAAUUCAAUGAAUGGCCAUAUGGAGGAAUGGGCAAAGACUAGAUGUAGUAUAAUGUGCGAUGGAUAGAUGGACAAGAGACAAAGGGCCCUUAUAAACUUUCUUGCGAAUUCUCCAAUGGGAAUUGUGUUUAUCGAAUCUAUUGAUGCCUCCAAUUACUCUAAAACUGGAGAAGAUGUUUAAGUUAUUGGAUAAUAUGGUGGAGAAUAUUAGGGAGGCAAAUGUCGUUCAAAUUGUGACUGAUAGUGUAUCGAACAAUGUGUUGACUGGUAAAAAAUUUUGUAUAAAAAGUAAAUUAAUUUUGUUUCAGUAUAUACUUCAAUUUUACGUUAUUAUAUGAAAUAUAUGUGAAAUUUUAAUAGAAAAAUUAUUGGAAGCAAAACGACCAAAUUUAUAUUGGUCACCUUCUGCAGCCCAUUGUAUUGAUUUGAUGCUUGAGGACAUUAGAAAGAUACUCGAGGUGUAUAGAAUAGUGAAAAGGGCAACAACAUUGAGUGGUUAUGUUUAUGCCCGCACGGGCAUGGUCAACAUGAUGAGACGUUUCACAGCCCAAAGAGAGUUGCUUAGGCCUGUUGUAACAAGAUUUGCAACAGCCUUUCUUACCCUUCAACGGUUACAUAAGCAAAAGAGCAGCUUUAGAAAGAUGUUCACAUCGGAUGAUUGGACCAAAAGUAAAUGGGCAAAACUACAAGCGGGUAAAAAUGCAACUAUCAUUGUAUUGAUGCCCACAUUUUGGACUAGCAUUGUUUAUAUUCUUAAAAUUUUUGGUCCUCUUGUUCGUCGUAUACUUCAACUAGUUGACGGUGAAAAAAGGCCAGCAAUGGGUCAUAUUUACGAGGCUAUGGGCAGAGCAAAGGAAGCAAUUGAAAGUCUUUUAAGGGGAGGGAGGAGAAAUAUAGUGAAGUAUUCAAGAUUAUUGAUAAUAGAUGGCAAUGCCAGCUUCAUCGCCCUUUGCAUGUCGCUGGUCAUUUCUUAAACACUGAAUUUUUUUAUUCAAAUUCAAAAAUUUGUAGAGAUGAGGAGAUUAUGUUGGGUUUAUAUCAAGCUUUACAAAGAUUAGUUGCAAAAGCUGAAGAACAAGAUAAAGUAUGCGAUCAACUAAGUGUAUAUCGUGAAGCACAUGGCCUUUUCAGAACUAAUAUGGCAAUUCGACAAAGAAAAAUAAAGUCACCAGGUAUGUUAGUUCUAUACUACUUGCUAAUAGUAUAGUACUAUUAUAAAUCUAUGCAUUAUACAUUUUAAUAGUUAUUACUAAUUUGUAGUAAGAUUAGAUAAGAAACAAAUGCACCCAUUUACAUACAUUAUUAAUUUAUAGUUAAUAUAACAUUUAUAUGAACAGCUGAGUAGUGGAAAUUGUUUGGGUCAUCAACACCAGACUUGCAAAAAGUUGCGAUUAGGGCUCUUAGCCUCACUUGUAGUGCUUCCAAUUGUGAGCGAAAUUGGAGGGUAUUUGAACAUGCAAGUUAUCUAUAUUAAAUCAUCUUCUACUGUAGUUAACUAGUUAUAGUAUUUCAGUAUUUGAUAGUUUUGAGUUCGUAAUUUAAUACUUGAAAUUUCAUAUUAUCUUUAUUAUCAUAAAGUUGUUUGUUUUUUUGUAGCUUCAUAGUAAGAAAAGAAAUAGACUCACGCAAAAACGCUUGAAUGAUUUAGUGUAUGUAGGGUACAAUAGAGUAUUGAGGUGGCGAUAUAAAUUGCGUCACACCAUAGAUCCUAUCUCAAUGAAUGAAAUUGAUGAGAGUAAUGCUAUGUUGCACAGAUACGGAUACGGGGAUACGGAUACGAUACGAUACGAAUACGGUGAUACGGCAAUUUCUAAAACUUCUAAGAUACGAUACGCGGGAUAUACUUAAAUAAAAUAUUAUUUUAAAUAUAUUUAAAUGUAUGUUGAUUAUAUGUAAUGAUAUAUUGAGAACAAUUAGAAUAUCUAGACUAUAUUAAGGAAUAUAUUCUAAUAUGCAUUAACUUGUAUAAUUAUUCUACAUAUGUUCAUAAAAAAAGAUAAUCAAUCAUAUAAAAUAAUAAUUCAAAAAGUAUCAAACCAACUAUCAUUCAACUUGAUCAAAUGAUAACAAUAAAUAUAUAGUCGCACAAACUAGAUAAUUAGCCAUUCAAUAUAUAUGUCUGAUUUGUUAGUUCUAUUAUUAAAAUAGUAAUAAAAAAAUAUGCUAACAAUUUAAUAGAGAAGGAAAAAAAAAUCAUAUUUUCUAUAGCCUUUGUUGCUUAAUAAUAGGUUGACAAAUUAGAUGGAAGAGAGUAAAUACUGUGUGAAGAGAGAACGAAAGGGAGCGCCUUCUACCAUUCAAGAACAAAAAGAUAGAUGAAAUGAUGAAUUGAACAGAUAUUGGUGUUUUUCUCACUCUUUUCCUUCUUUCCAAUAGGUUUGGACGUGAGCUUUUAAAAAAAUUUUAAGUUUCAAUCAUUUUAGACCAAAAAAGAGCGGGGUCGUGUCCCCCCCCGUAUCCCCCAAUAUCCCUCACAUAUCCGAGCCAUAUCCGAUAUUUUUUUAUUUUUUAAAAAUGUCAGAUACUUCAUUCCCGUAUCGGGCGCGUAUCGGGCGCGUAUUGGGCGCGUAUCGGUAUCCGAUACGUAUCCGAUACGGAUACGGCAUGAAAUUUGAAGUAUCCGUGCUUCAUAGUAGUAAUGAAUGGUUGAUUAGAAGAAUGGAUGAAAACAACGAUGAUGAGAGGGAAGAUAAGGAUAAUGUUUGGAAAGAUGACACAUUGACAUGGAGUAUAGUGGCUAAAGCAGCAGGGGUGAAUCAGCCUACCCAUCAUACUAAAUCACGUAGUUCCACCAAGCGUAGUGGUAAAAGAAAGGCAAAAGCUUCAUCUUCUCAAUCUCGGAAUAUUAGUAACUUUAUAAAUGAUGAAGAGCCUAAUUUUGAUGAGACUCGAGACAUAGAGGAUGAAGAAGAAGAAGACAUUGGAGAUGACAAAUCUAACGAGGGAGAGGAGUAUUCUUUAUCAAGUGAUGAAAAUGAUGAUUGAUGAUUGAGAGGAGUGGGGAGAGAGAACUAAUCAACAUUUCUAAUAUGACGUAUUUUGGCUUGGAGCCUUAAACACUUAGCUUUCAUGUGAUCAUGAUGCCCUUUUAAUUAUUUUUGGCUUGAAACUUUAAAAUUUUAUACAUGUUACUUUUUAUAAUCAUGUGCUUAUAAUUAUAUGUUUUUGACAUCAAAGUUUUCUACAUGUUUGUGAAUUACUAGUUACCUUUAUGUUGGUCUUAUCUGGAGACAAAAAGGUACUUUGUUCUUUCCUGUUAUUUUGUUUUUAAAAUUACCACUUGGCUUCUUUUCUUUUCUUCGUUUGUUUUUGUCCAAAAACAUGAUUAUUGGAUAGUUACAGAAUAUUUAUUGUAAUAUGAUUUUAAAGUGUAUAUUUAGUACUACUUAAUAAUUAUUAGAAAGUAUAGUACAGAAUUUCUUGAUUAUUUCAAAAUUUUAUAAAAGUGUGCGCCUUACCUCUCUAGGGCGCGCGCCUUGUCUUUCUCCAGACCUUUUAUUAAUUGCCUUUAAAAACAUAGGACGUCCUCCGUGACGAUCAUAAAAAUCAUUAGUAGCCACUUUUGAGGAUCACCCCAACCAUCACAAACAAUAUUUAUACCUUUCGCACUCCAUGUUUCCUUAAUCAAUUCUAACAAAAUUUCUACACAGACUCCUACCUUUGAAGUAGUUUUUAGCAUAUUAACACCAAGAAGAACAUAGUCACUAACAUAUGAUUGGUCGCAUAUGUGUAUAAACUAAUAUAGUGAGGGCUUCUAGAGAUUAAAUAACAAGCCGCUGGUGUGACGAACUUAAAAAUUUAGAGUUGAUUGUUUCGGCAAAGAUAGUUGGUAAUAGUGGAAGGCUAGAUUGAAAGGGAUUAUAGGAUACAAAAAAAUGAGAGAGAAGGUAAGAUACAAGAAGUGCACCAGUCAUGCGAUUGCGAGGGAUCCACAAUUAACGAGGCGGUGACAAUACCACAGGCAGAACUUCAGCGGCGGGGAAGAAAAAGAGGCAAGGAUCCGAGAAAAGAGGGGUAGAAGCAGAAGCCGAUAUAAUCACAAGGAAGGAAGAGACAACAAUCAAAUUGAAGAAGAAGAUUACCUCCGCGCGAAGGAGCAUUGACGAUCACACCGGGAAGGGUUUUUGACCUAGUUUUGGAUAUGGACUGACUCACAAAAUGUUAGGCAGCUAAUAAUUGUGAGAGCGGAGUUAUGACCUUUCAUUAACCUCGACAAAAGAAGCUUGUGUACCGAGGAUGUAAAAGCUCGCUCUUUGCAAUUACGGUAUCCACAUCGCGUGCGAAAAAAUUGAUUAAUAGUGGUUGUGUUGCCUACUUAGCAACGGUGGUGAAGAUCGAAAGGAGGUUUCUGUGCUCGAGAAUGUUCCUAUAGUACGAGAGUUCCCAGAUGUCUUUCCGAUAGAGUUACCCGGGAUACCACCAGACCAAGAGAUCAAAUUCGUCAUAGGCCUGAUACCCGGGAUCGCCGAUUUCAAAGGCAGCCUAUCGAAUGACACCGACUGAGUGGAAAGAGUUGAAAAAUCAACUGCAGGAUCUAUUGGAUAAUGGCUUCAUUAAAUUGAGUGUAUCGCCUUGGGGAGCCACGGUGCUAUUCGUAAAAAAGGAAGAUGGUUCGCUACAGUUGCGUGUAGACUACCAUGACAAAGUCACCAUCAAAAAUAAAUACCCGUUGCCCAAUAUCAAUGACUUAUGUGAUCAACAUCAAUAAUCUCAGUGUAUUCUAAGAUCAUUUGCAAUCCGAACAUCACCAACUAAAGGUUAAGCCGGAGGAUGUGCAUAAGACUGCGUUUCGGACGCGGUAUGGGCACUAUGAAUUCAAGGUAAUAUCAUUUGGGCUUAUUAAUGCCCCGACAGCAUUCAUGAAUUUAACGAACCAUGUAUUCAAGUCCUUGUUGGACCGGUUUGUCGAAGAGUUCAUACACGACAUCUGGGCCUACUUCCGAAGUAAUGAGGAACAAGAAAAGCAUCUUCGAUUAGUAUUGCAAGUUCUUUGGAAGAAUAAGGUAUAUGCCAAGCUGAAGAAGUGCGACCUUUGGAUUCGUAAGGUCGCCUUUCUGGGUAACGUGAUUUCAAAAAGUGGAUUUUUUAGGAUUUUCUGAGAAUUUUUCUGAUAGAGCUAGAAAAAGCUUAAUUAGCGUAGCUAAGUAAAAAAUAGUGCGCUUAAUUAGCGUAUAUGAUGUUAUCUGGAAAGCCUAACAGAAUUAAGGUAAAAAUAAAGGUUGUUAAAUGAAAAGGUUGUUCCCUAAACCCUAAACCCUAAACCCUAAACCCUAAAACUCUGAUACCAAGAGGGGGGAAAGAGGGGCUAGAGAGUUUAGGCUUGGCUAGUUCCAAGUUUAAGCUUUAGGGUUUAGGGUUUAGGGUUUAGAAGAAGGUGCGGAAAUGAUUUUUAAACACAAACUACAAGUCUGUUGUUAUAAAAAACCCUUAAGAUAAAAACCCUAGGAUUUAUGGAGAAAACCCUAGUCUAUUUAUAAAAACCCUAAGAUAGUAGGAAAAACAAACCUUUGAAAGAAGCAAAAACCUAAAAAGGAUUUUUAAAAUAUUUUUUGGAUUUUUUAGGAUUUUUAGGGAAAUGCGGAAAUAGUAGAGUUGGGUCAGAUUAUGUAAUAUAUUAAAAAUUAAGUAUUAGAAUAUACCGGUUAAAAAGGAUAAGUNCCGAGUUUUAGGAAAAUUGCAUCAUCGAAAAUUUAAUGAGAUAAAGAGUUUUAGAAAUAUAAAAAACAUCUGAAAAAUUUUUAUCUUGAUUUCUAGAAGGGAGUACCAGACGGGACCUACUUUAAAAAAGAUUUGGAAACUUAGUUUAUUUUCUAAAAACGGAAAUUUUAAAUUUGCACUUCAUCCUAUUUUUAUUCAUCCUACAAAUAUCAUUCAAGACAUAUAUUAUUUUCUUUCCGUUCCUCUUUUACUGUGAACUAUUUAUCAAACAAUUUCAUCUAAACAUCCACCUAUCCAUCCCAAUUAAAUUAAUAUCAGUGGACCCAAAGAAAGUUGAAGCGAUAAAGGAUUGUCCCUGAUCAACAAAUGUAAUCGAGAUUUGUGGUUUUCUCGGUCUUGCCGGGUAUUAUCGACGAUUCAUGGAGAGGUUUUCUAUGAUCUUCGGUCCACUGAUGCGCCUUACUUCAUUUGGAGCGAGGAUUGGGAUCAAAGCUUCAAAGAGUUAAAGGUAAGUUGACCACAACUCCAAUUCUUGCCCUGCCAGUUGCAGAGAAGGACUUCGUGGUAUAUAGUGACGCGUCGCGAAACAGUCUUUGGUGCGUGCUGAUGCAACGUGGGCAAGUCAUAGCAUAUGCCUCCCGCCAAUUGAAAAAUUAUAAACAAAAUUAUCCCACUCAUGACUUAAAGCUAGCGGCAGUGGCCUUCGCACUCAAGCUAUUAAGAUACUAUUUGUACGGAGAAUGUUACAAGGUUUACACAGACCAUAAGAGCUUCAAUAUUUAUUCACUCAGAAAGAGUUAAACUUAAGACAACGUAGGUGGUGAGAACUGCUAAAAGAUUAUGACAUAACCAUCUUAUACCAUCCAAAAAAAGCCAAUGCAGUAGCCGAUGCGCUCAACAAAAAGUUCGUGGAAAACCUCAUGAUGAUAAUCAUGAUUCAGCCACGGUUGCUUACGGGAAUAAGGCGAUUCGACAUGGAAGUUGUAAUUCCGGGUGCCCCCACAACACAUGACUUUAAUAAUUCAACCGACCUUGUAGGAGAGAAUAUAAGGGAAAGUCUUUGGACUUGGAACUCUAAAAGGUGCGAGGCGAUAAAAAGUGUAGGUAAGCCAAUGUGUUUGGUAUGAGUUCGGAAGGGACUCUUCGAAUCCGCGAUCGGUUAUGUGCGUCCAAGGACGAGAAAAUUCAUGAAAAAAAAUACUUAGAGAAGCCAUCGAUCUCACUAUACUACUUACCCGGGCAGCACCAAAAUGUACAAAGACUUGAAAAUGCAUUAUUGGCCAAAUAUGAAAAAAGAUAUAGGGUGUUUUAUGGCACAAUGUUUAGUGUACCAACAAGCAUAAGCGAAACAUUGUCUCCCAAUGAGAAAGAUUCAAAAUUUGUUGAAUUCUCAUGUGGAAAUAGGAGAAUAUUUCAAUGGAUUUCAUUGUAGGAUUGCCUCGAUCACGAGAAGGCCAUGAUGCAAUAUGGGUGGUAGUAGACUGCUUGACGAAAUCGGCUCAUUUCUUGCCAAUCCACACCACGUGGUAGAGGGACACGUUGAGGGACACGUUGCCGUGAGUUUAUCUGGAUGACAUUGUGAAUCUGUAUGGGGUUCUAGCAUCCAUAGUAUUGGAUCGAGAUUCCCAGUUUGCAUCACACUUCCGAAUUCCCAGUUUGCAUCGCAAUUUUGGAAGAGCUACAUGAUGCUCUAGGCACUCGGCUCAAUUUUAGCACUCUUCAUCCCCAGACGGACAAUCAGUCAGAAAGGACGAUCCAAAUUUGAGAGGACAUGCUUUGAGCGUGUGUUCUUGAUUUUAGGGUGCAUUACACACUUUCUUGCCUAUGGCAAAAUUCGCUCGAAACAAUGUUCGGGAACUAGUGGAAUGCCCUAAGCAACAAAACAUAAUUGGUACCAAAUGGAUAUUUAAGAACAAGAAAAAUGAAGAUGGUAUCAUAAUACAGAACAAAGCAAGACUUGUUACUCAAGGAUAUUCACCAAUAGAAAGGAUUGAUUUGAAAAAACUUUCACCCCUGCUGCAAAACUUUCGCCCCUGUUGCCCGUCUUGAAUUAUCUAUAUUUUGUUCGCUAUUGCUUGUCAUUUUAAAAUUAAACAUUUUCAAAUGGACAAAAAAAGCGAUUUUCUAAACGAAUUUUUAAAAGAGUACGUUUAUGUUGAACAACCAAAAAGUUUUAUAGAUCCUAACCAUCCAGAUCAUGUAUACUGUUUGAAAAAGACUCUUUACAGUCUCAAACAAGCCCCGCGAGCAUGGUAUGAAAGAUUGAAAAUAUUUAUUGGAAAAGUGCUAUAUCCUAGAGGGAGCAAAUAGAACUCUAUUUGUGAAUAUCGGAACAAUUUUAUUAUGGCACAAAUAUAUGUUGACAAUAUAGUCUUCGGAGCCACAAGAGAUAAAGAUGCCACAAAGUUUGCCGAGAUAAUGAAAAGUGAAUUGAGAUGUCAAUCAUGGGCGAACUUAAUUAUUUUCUCGGGCUGCAAGUCAAACAAUCAAAAGAUGGAAUUCAUUUAUGUCAAUCCAAAUACACGAAGGAUCUGGUCAAGAAAUUUGGGUUGGAGAAUUCUAAAGACUUUCCUACUCCUAUAGGUACAAUUAACAAAGGACUUGGAGUUAGUAUCCUAUGUAAAACUGUUGAUAAAAAACUUUACAGGAGUAUGAUUGGAAGUCUUUUAUGCUUGAUGGCGAGAAAAGCUAAUAUCUCCUUCAGCGUUGGUGUUUGCAUCAAAAUAUCAAGUCAAUCCGAAAGAAAUCCAUCUUAAAGCGAUGAAACGAAUCAUUUGAUAUAUCAAAGGCACCGUAAAUUAUGGUAUUUGGUAACCUAUGGGGACAUCGCUUGAUCUUAUAGGAUACUAAGAUGCCGAUUGGGCUGGUUCGGUUGAUGACAAAAAGUGUACCAGCGGCGCUUGUUUCUAAAGGUCAUUGUCUUGUAGCAUGGCAUAAUAAGAAAUAAAAUUGCAGUCAUAUCAACUGCUGAAGCUAAAGUACAUCUCUGCUGGAAGAUGCUCUACACAAUUCUUGUGGAUGAAAAGCUUAUUGAGCGACUAUCGGAUCCCCUCCAAUACGGUGACACAAUUCUUUGUGACAAUACCAUUGCCAUAAAUAUUUUUAAAAAACCAUGUUUUGCAUUCUCGUACUAAACACAUAAAACUUCAAUAUCACAUUUUACGAGAACUAGUUGAAUCAAAUAUUAUUGAACUUGACUAUAUUGAUGAUCAAUUAGCUGAUAUUUUGACAAAGCCUCUAGAUCAAAAACAUCUUAUACAUCUUCGGAAGGCAAUUGAUAUGAACCCCUCCAUCUAUAGAGAGAGUUCUUUGGGCCUUAGUAAUGCAUGAAUUGGUAUUUAGUGCAUAAUUGUUUGAUUUUAUUACAUUACUUUGAUAAUUAAUUUUGAAUUUAGGUUUGAGUCCGUGAAUUUGUAAAUCACCUUGUACCCUAAAGUUUUCUUAGUGGAUUUUUCAUGUGAUCAAUCCCGUGAGUUUUUUUUCUCAUGGUUGGAGUUUUCCACGUAAAAUUCUCGAUUUGUCCGUUUUAUUUUCUGUUUUAUAUUUAAUACGCGGAGUUAAUUGUGUUUUACGAUCUUUCAUCAUCGCCUGUCACACCAUUGUUGUUAUUCAAAAUUUUAAAUGGGUUAUCGCUGAAUUUUAUUUUAUAGCGAUGGUCUCUAAAAGUUCAUUUAAAUAGGCCUCACGGUAUUGAGAUUUAUAACACAAGUUUGCAUCUGUUCUUUAAUUUGCCUUUUCUGCUGCACUGCUGCACUGCUGCAGUACCACGCUACAUUAUUGUACUAUAUAACUAUUCGUUGCAUAGGCUAGCCUUGAAAUCCUAUCCUUAAAAAUGAAAAAUAUUUGUGUUAUUCUCUGUGAAAUUCCAAUUAGACUAUAAUUAAGCCAAAAUUAAUCUGAAUCUAACCCAAAUUGACUAUGACUAAACCCAAAUUAAGUCCAACACAUGAAAUUAACUUAAAUAAGAAAGUUAAUUUCUAAUCAACUAAUAAGCCUAGGCUACUGCAUAAACAGAAUUCCUCUAUUUCAUGUGAAUAUCAUCAACCUUAUAGCAUGCAUUGUGUGAGAACCCUAUUUCAACAGAACACUCAGGCUGAGCCCAACUGAAACGAACCUUCAGAUGACAAAGAUACAACCCCAAAAAUUCAAACUACAAGAAAUGUCAAAACCAAUGGUUAACUUGCUUGAAAAGCCUUCACAUAAUAUGUUUUGCUGAUGGGAAAAUAACCUGUGCACAAAUAUAUAUCUUGUCUAAUUUGCAUUUGUCAGCAAUGUUGAAAAAAAAAAGAAUUAAUGACUACUAUCUAAUUUCAGAAUAUUGCAAAGAUCAUUUCAUAAUGAAGACAUCAUAGUAAAAGAGAAGGUUCAUCAAAAACCAUACAUGCCAUUAACUGCUUCCACAUAAACAGUUCAACCUUUUAAGAGCAUGUUGCAGAUGUGAGAAUAGCAACGGAGCAUAAUUUCAAAAAUCCAAAUGUGCAAAAUUACUCACCGCAGCAAUUUAUGUCAGCAACAUCCAAGAUGUAUACUUUGGUUUGAUAUAUAUUUAAAUGAUAAUCUCCCCAAAAUUAGUACCUCUCAGCCAUCAAAGUAUCUAACUAUUUGCAUGCAUUCAAGCACAUCGAACCUACGCAUCCUCUGAGGUGCGAUAGUUAAGUAAUUAAUGUCUAAUUCAACAGUUUUAACUGGAUGCGAACACUUUAAUAUAAGCUAAAACAGAUGCAUUUCAUGCCUCCUACAUACUUGCGUAAUUAUUUAGAAUAAAAAGGACUUGACAUUCAAAGAGGAUCAUUUUGAAAACACGUAAUCUCAUACCUUGGGCAACUCUUUGGCCUUUUCGGCAUGACCAACACCAGCAACCACCGGCAUCCGCCUGCAAAAACACAUAAACAAGUUGUCAAAAUAAACAUGCAAAUGGAACCAAGAGAGGAGUAAAAAGAGUUUAGACAGCGGAACUGGAGGCAGAAAUCAAAGGCUCCUUCAACCAUGUCGUCAACGGUGUUAAGUAUUUCAUUGAUGAAGAGCUGUGGGUUGAGGCCUAAGACAUCGAAGAUCGCCUCGCUCUCCCUCACCUUCAUUCCUUAAUGCUGCCAAAAGUGCCUUCAAGAUCCUAAAUCAGAAAGUUUAAACAGUAAACAAGAUAAAGCUUGCACUCUGCAUAGUGCAUACUAACAUAUCUAAAGUCUAAACAGUAAACAAAUAAAAGAUAAUUAACCCCACUCCAUUGGUUCUGAGUCUUCAGACAGCAGCAAACAAAUUAAUGGAUGUAAGUAUGUAACAACAACAUAAUUAGGACUAAUAUGGAAAUCUGGAGUUUAUAGGAAGAGAAGGUUUUUUUGAGUGAAAGAAAAACACAACAGCAACAAUAUCAACCAUAUAAAUAAGAGAAAACUGUCACAAUAGAAAUCAAAGUUAACUAGGGAGAAACAAACAAUAUUGCAAGGAUUUUAAAGAUUUGGCACAUAACAUGCAGAUAAUAGCAAAUAUUAACUCCACUCGUAGUCAUGGAAAAUAUGAAUUUGUAGUUUUGUACCAGAUGAAGUGGGCAUGCGGCGGCGGAACAGCGGAACUCGGAACCAGAUUGCGAGUGGUGCGCGGCCACGCGGGGGGUUCCGAUGGCGAGCGGCGCGCGGUCGGGAUGGUUCAAAACUUCCGAUGGUGAGCAGCGCUCGGCCUCGCGGGGGGUUCCAGUGGCGAGCGGCGCGCGGCCGUGGUGGUUCCGAACUUCCGAUGCUCGGCCUCGCGGGGGGUUCCGAUGGCGAGCGGUGCGCUGCAGGGGUGGUUCCGAACUUCCGAUGCUCGGCCUCGUGGGGCGUUCCGAUGGCGAGCGGUGCGCGGCCCGGGGCGAGUUGGGUUCUAAAGAACCCGAUCUUCGAUGUCGAGCGGUGCGCGGCCCGGGGCGAGUUGGGUUCUAAAAAACCCGAUCUUCGAUGUCGAGCGGCGAGUGGCGCUGCAGGGACUGCCGAUGGCGAUCGGCGAGCGACCGGAAGGGAAGGGGAGGGGAGGGGAUGGGGGCGGAGGCAGGAGCAAGAAGAUAGGGCGAAAAGUUUUGAGCGACUAGGUUUUUUUAUGUUUUUUUUUUCUUUUUUUCCCCGUUUUGAGCGAGAGUGGGAAGAGGAGCAUCACGAACUCAGCGUUUUCGUUCGCAGUGUCCCUGCUGCACCCACUUUUUUUCACAAAAAUGGACGAGUCUUUGCUGCACCCACUUUUUUUCACAAAAAUGGACGAGUCUUUGUCUCGAUUGCUAAUCCGAACCUUCGCUUUCUAUAAAUAAAUAUAUAAAAAAAAAUAAGAAAAAAAAUAUAGACUUUCUCAAAAAACUAAGUAUUAUACUACUUAGAAAAAAAAAAUUAUAGCAUACAAACACACUUUCUUGUGUAUUUUGGCCUUAGCCAAAUUUUACUAUUUCUAAUGAUACAUAGAACCUAGUUACAUAACUCACCUACUAACCUAUUUAUAAUGAGCACUCAUAAUAGCCAAAAGCACAAGAGUCACACCAUAACUCAUGGCUGUUUUGCAACCCUUGAGUUUUCUACAGCGGGUUGGAUUUGGAUCUUCUUGACAACCCGAUUCAACCUGUUUUCGCUAGCAGAGUCGGGCCGGAAACCGGACUGCAAUAGAAUUUUUCUAAAUCCCUGACAGUACGGACACCCCGGGAUAAGCCACGAUUUUCUGAUAUAUAACUUUUAGAUAAAAAUUAUAUUGUUUUUAGGAAUAAGAUAAAUAGUAAUUAGAUUGUUAGAUUGGAACAGAGAAAAUAAGAGUUAUAAUUUUAAAUUAAAAUUAUUUUUUUCUAAUUAAUUAACAUCAAAAUAUUACUUAAAAAAUAAAAUAAUAUUAAUAAUUAUAAAUAUUGUAAUUUUAAAUUACAAAUAUUUUAUCUAAUUAAUUAACAUCAAAAUAUUAAUUAAAAAUAAUUCAAUAAAUUAAUAAAUUUAUUAGCUAUUAAUAUAACAGUAAACUAAUAAAUAUUAUUUAAUUAAUUAGUUAAUUAAUAUAUUAAUUAAUUAGUUAAUUAUAAAAUUAACUUAACUUUUUAAUUAGUUUGUAAAUUAUUUUAGUUAGAUAAUUAGUUAAAAAUUAAAUUGAUUAGUCAUAAUAUUAAUGAUUGAUCAAUAUUAUUGAAUAAAUUCAUUAAAAUAUUAAUAAGUAAUAUAUUAAUUAAUUAGUUAAUUAAUAUAUUAAUUAAUUAGUUAAUUAUAAAAUUAACUUAACUUUUUAAUUAGUUUGUAAAUUAUUUUAGUUAGAUAAUUAGUUAAAAAUUAAAUAGAUUAGUCAUAAUAUUAAUGAUUGAUCAAUAUUAUUGAAUAAAUUCAUUAAAAUAUUAAUUUUUAAUUAGUUAAUUAAUUAUAAAUAAUAAAUUAAUUAAUUAUCUUACUAUUAAAGCAAUAGGUGUUACGCCCCGCGACCGCCAAUUUGGUCGGUUCGGGUACAUCUACAGACGCCGAACGGACAGAACCUCUCCUGUCCGCCCAAGGCUCCACACAACAUCAAUAUGUAUAACAAUUUGCGCAAGUAGAAUUUGGAUAUAUAUGCCUUGCACGAGAGCAAGCAACAACCAAGUAAGUGAAAGUACUUCUACUAUCUUGAUUACAUUUAACCAAAUACGAGUUUGCCAUAUAUAUUACAUUCACUUUUUCUUCCAAAUACAUAACAUGUUCAUUUACGUCACACUUUUCAUCAUAUACAAAAGAUGAAGAAAAUAGGGUAUAAGCUAUACUCGACGGUAGCCUGCUACCUAGGGCGCGAUGCCCUUACCGCGAUCCUCGACCGCCCCGCUCGCGCUAGGAUCUGCAAGGUUAGUGAUGUGAGAACUAAUGAAAAUUUUCAGUGGGUUCGGCCGCCGACCCCGCCGACUCACCCACUAAGUCUACUCAGACAUAUAUAGAAAAAGAAGAGAUAGAUAGCAAACCAUACUAAUGCUAUUACAAUAUCUAUACAAAAACUGAUCAACAAGUAAUAUGCUCAUGAUGCAUAUAUUUCACUUUUACCUUUGCUUUUACCCAAUUCUCAUGGUUAACUUAUGGUUAAUCCCAACUCACCAACCAAAUCCUUUUCUGUCGGGAAAAAUUUCGUUACAAUCCGACGGGACCGUCUACUAGGGAGAAUGCUGCUACAACCCAAUUGGUGACCACUCCGAAGCUCAACGCUUGAGGUAGAACGAUCACCCUCAAGCAUAUUAGACCAACUGUGAGUAUAAUCCCAAUGGGUUAGAGUAAUUUUGUGUUUGGUUGAGUAAUUCCUAGGGAGGGGUAGGGUUAAGGGUGGGGUUAGCUAGGGUUAGCUAACCCCACCACAGUUUGCGGUCGGGACACCCCCCCCCAAUUCUUGUUUGGGGUUAAGAGGGGGAUAACCUUGUUAUCCCCUCCUUCAACCCCGAACCAAACGGUGUGAAAAGGUUUUACCUUGUCUAGCACACCAUGUAUUUAGGUGCUAUUCAUUCCCUGUAGUCACAAUGUCACCUUAUUUAUUAUUGUCAUAGUCCAACACUCAAUUCAUAAAUUUAUAGGGUUUCUAUAUGCAUGGUCCAUUAUCAUUUCGUAUGUACUUUACAUUGAAAGCAUACAAGAGAUCCCAUAUCUUAACCACAUAUCACAAUAACCCUACCAUGCAUGAAUGCCACAUGUGUACAUAUAUGCUCAAAAAGGUGAUAUAGAUAUAAUGAGAAAUUCGAUGAUUUCGGAUAGCACCACCCACCUCGUAGUGAUGCCGAAGGGCUAAAACCCAAGCUUCACGAUUUAUGGUCGCCGAUUUUCCUUAACCCUCGACAAACGAAGCUGAAAUGAGGUUUUUACCUCAAUAACUCGACGUAGACUCAUCGGAAUUCCAAGCCAAGUCUUCUAACACAUCAGUUUAUACUCCAAUUAAGGCUACAAGAGAUCAAAUCUGUGUUAGAUCUCAUACUUUGUAAAACCCUAUUUUUAACCUUGGGUUUUCAUCAUCAUCAAAUACCCAAUAUUUUUGGGGGAUUCGUGAGAUAAUCUAACUUAGCAUCUUCUAAGAACAUCAACUAGAAGAGAGUUAACCAAACCAUAGCUCACAAUUACACAAACUCACCUCAACUUCUAGCUUCUUCCUCCACUCAAGCACAAGAGCAUAGCUUCACCCCCAAGCCUGCUUUCUUCUCCACCAAGCUCCACUAUUGGAGCAAACCCUAGAGAGAGAAAGGGAGAAAGGGAGAAAGUAGAAAGUGAGAGAAAGUUCUAGAGAGAGAAAGAGAGCUUUUCCUCUUUGGUCUCAUAUGAGGGAAAUGAGGGCUAGGAUAUAGAACCCAUAUAUUAACCCUCCCAAAUGACACUUGCACCAAGGCCCCUCACAAAAUUAAUAUUUUGGACCAACCAAAAUUUUUGCGUGUUCAGGGUCGGGACCUUGCACUCAAGGUAUGAACCACGAGAGCAAUUUUUCACUGUCUCACAACCAGGGUUCUGACCUUACUGCCAGGGCCCGGACCCCGAGAGCAAAAGCGUGCUCAAUCGACUCGAAACUUCCCAAUUUGCUCUCCAAGGUCCCAAACACCUAUCCAAACCCUUAUGAAGCAUUCGGAAUAUCUCACAGACCUCACCAUCUUGUCCAUCACCAGACUUUGGUCAAUUUGACUGAAGUUCGGUACAUCCUAUCAGGGAUUUGGUAUAUCACAUGCUCCACCCCUUAAACAUAGUUUCGUCCACGAAACUCAAAUUUCAUACCUUAGCUCAUCUACUCAAAUAGAUGAUGAUAGGUUUCUCGCAUCGUCUCCUCGAGAUCCUAAGUGGCUUCAUGCCUUGCAUGAUUGCUCCACUGAACCUUUACAUACGGAAUUGUACGAUCCGCAAUUCCCUCACCUCUCGAGCAAGGAUGCACACCGAAAAUUCUUCAUAGGUCACAUCCUCGUGCAACUCCACCGGUUCAUAUUCCAAGACAUGAGAGGAAUUAUGGGCAUACUUACGGAGAUUGGAUAUAUGGAACACAUUGUGAACUCCCGCAAGCCUCGGUGGUGAUGCAAGUUUAUAUGCCACCGCACCUACAUGCUCUAGAACCUCAUAUGGUCCAAUGUAUCGGAGGCUAAGCUUUCCCCGAAUACCAAACCGCUUCACACCACGCAUGGGUGAUACUUUCAGGAAAACGCGGUCUCCCACCGUGAACUCGAGAUCUUUUCGGCGUUUAUUAGCACAACUCUGCUGUCGAGUUUGUGCUGUCAAAAGCCGCUGGCGAGUAAGGCGAACUUUCUCUUCCGCCUCCCACAACACAUCCGAACUAAGGGUGGCCUUUUCACCCACUUCGAUCUAAUGAAUAGAGGAGUGACACUUUCUUCCAUAAAGAGCCUCGAAUGGCGCUGUGAGGUGCUGGCUCCUCGGCCUAUGGUGCCACUUUUGGUCAAAGUGACCGAAGCAUGGCGAGAGGAACCGUUGGACAUAAUUUGUAUGUCGUCCCGAAAGCCUCGAAAUUAUUAGAGGUGAGUUUCGGAAGUAUUUAAGUGGUUUUGACAUUGAUUGGGGCGAAAUUGGACUUAAACUGUAGCACACUGAACUUUAGCAAAUUGCAAGUGUCACGCCCCGAGACCGCUACCAAUUUGGUACGGUCCGGGCGCGUCGAACAGACGCCGAACAGACAGGACCUCCCCUGUCCACCGAAGGCCAAGCAACUGAUCAUGUAUAAGAAUUUACCCAGGAGUCAAUUCAUAAAUACACGAUCGCAAGGAGCACCACCAGUGCUAACAAACAAGAGCAAGAUACAAGUAUGAGACAUACAAGUAAAUAAAGAGAGAAGGUUCUAUCUAUUACAUUCAUUCCACUUAAUACAUCGAUUUGCUUUUGUCACGCCCCGGGACCCAGCGGAAGCCGGCCCGGCACGUGCCCAGACCCGCCAUAUGUCUAAAACAUAUAAGGCGUCUAAAAACAACAAUAGUAAAAGCAGUAGUAAAAGGCAUCUAGGAGUAUCAGAGCAUAAUAAAUGUCUAAAUGCUACAACAAAGGAUAAGGAUAAAACUGUAAAUCCACUAAAACAUAAAGUGAUACAAGGAAAAGCCCAGAUAUAAGUGCUAAAAGUAGAUACAUAGGUGGUCUCUAUACAUGGAUACAAAAUCUCUCACUCUCUCUCAACUACAAAAGAAAGAGCAAGCCACCUAGGCAAAGUACCGCUCCUCGCUAGCUAGCUAAGCGAUUCCCUUGCCGCGAUCCCGUGCCUCCGCCGGUGCCGAAGGCUCUGAAAAGUAAACCAUAAAACAGGGGCAUGAGAACUAUUAAAAAUAGUUCCCAGUGGGCAAUUACUGACUUCAGUGAAUGCACCACAGGGCCCAAAGCUACAAAGGGUGUCAGUGACUAUAAAUGCAGAAAAGCGAAAGGUAAGUAAAAAUUUAACUUACUACAAUAUGAUAUCUCUACUUAGCAUAAAUAGCACAAGUAUGAAGCAACUAUGCAUGAAGUAAAAGUCUCUAACUAUCAUAAUGUUCACAAUGCGAAAUAGUAAAGUUCCGUUGUUUACUAUUCUAGUCAAUGUCCAAGUAGUACACUAAGUCAUCAUCUGUCCACAUGUCAUGACGAAUACUCGAAGUCAAAUCUGAAGAGACCCACCCGAAGGCUGUCUAUGGCCCUGAGACCCACCCGUAGGCUGUCUGGCCGGUGCCGAGCCUAAUGGCCCCGUGGUAGUCAUCAUCCCCACCCUAGGAAUGAGCCUGUCCCACGGCAAUCCACUUCGGCGCCCAAUCCCGCACGGCGAAUAUGAAUCGCGAUGGCUAUCUCCGGAGUGCCGGCUUGUAGGGAGCGACCCUCACAAGCAUGUGCGAAUGAGCACAAUGGCAAGUAGUCAAACGAUCUGUCGCAAGUACCAAGUCCUCAUGUCUAAUAACAUGGAAUGUAUCGAAUGUCCCAAAGGCCUAUCUCUAUGUCAUCAUGUCUCUAACAUGGAAUAUAUAGCAGAUGUACAAUGGCCUAUCAUCAUGUCUCUAAGUUGCAUUUUCAUAGUUUACUAAUUCCAAGUGCCCCUUUAUGACACUUUUGUUCAACGAGUCCCAAGCAUGGCAUUAAUAUGUUCAUGAUGCAUAGUUCACUCAAUUCUAGCAUGGAGACAUGUUCUCAACUUGCAAAACCAAGCACUAUCCACAAUGCAUGCAAUCUACACAUAUAGCUCUACUAUAUGGAGUACAAAUUUUACGAUACAUGAGGCAUGCAUGUUAAGUGUUCUAAAAUUCAUAUAAAUCAUGUUUAGCAUGAAUUUGCAUUCAAAAAUACUUUACAAAAAGUUUGGAAGGCAUAGGGGUCAUUUUGCCCCAUUUUCAUGAAGUCAAACCCACCAAAAUCGACUUCUUCGUUUCGCCGAACGAAGGUAUCCACAAGCUUCCUAGUACCCUCAAGUGAAAACCCUCUCUUAAUCUUCAAAUGGAAGGUAGGGGUCUUCCAAUCUAACCUCAAGAGGAGCUCCAAUCCAAGCACUUCAACCAAGUAGGGUUGAAGUUCGAUCCUCCACAAAGCUCCAAUCGCAAGUUCAAAGCCACCAAGGUGAGAAAUGGGGAAGAAGAUGAUGCUCCAAGGCCUCUAAGCAAGCUCCUUCUCCUCUUCUCCUUCUUCUUCUCCCUCUCUUCUUCUCUCUCUAAAAUGCAAAGGGUUGAGAGAAAUAAGGGAAAGAGAGAGAGGAAAGNGAAGACGCGUUCGGGAACCGGUCUCGCCUGCCAGGGACCGGUUGCCUCAGGCUGUCUCAACCCUGCUCACUGGGGGGACCGGUCUCUCCUUCCAGGGACCGGUCCCCGAGAGUAAAACUCUCAGGACUUGUCCAGAAUUCCAGUUUUCGAACUUUUUAGGUCGGAAUACAUUCUACAACCCUCCACUAAGUGUGGAAAAGCUCGAAAUACAUCCAAACACUCGAACCUCGCAAUUUGCAAAGGUCCAGUGUGUUAUACAGACCUUCUCUUCCACCUCUCGCAACACAUCGGGGCCGAAUUCCGUGCGCUCGCCCACAUCGCUCCAAUAAAUGGGAGAUUGGCACUUCCGCCCAUAAAGGGCCUCGAACGGUGCCAUCUCCACACUAGCGUGAUAACUAUUGUUGUAGGCGAACUCGGCCAUUGGCAAAUAUUUGCACCAGCCUCCUUUGUAGUCGAUGACACAAGAUCGCAACAUAUCCUCCAGAGUCUGAAUAGUCCUUUCAAUUUGUCCAUCCGUCUGGGGUUGAAAUGCAGUGCUGAAGUCGAGCCGUGUGCCAAGGGCCUCCUGCAGGCUUUCCUAGAAAUGUGAAGUGAACUUGGGGUCUCUAUCCGACACAAUUGACUUCGGUACCCCGUGUAACCUCACUACCUCAUCAAGAUAUAUCUGCGCCAACUUAUCUCCCGCCCAGGUGGUGUGGACCGGCAAAAAGUGCGCUGACUUCGUCAAGCAGUCCACAAUCACUCAUAUUGCGUCGUGGCCCCCUGUCGAGCGAGGCAAUCCAAUAAUGAAAUCCAUAGAUAUAUCCUCCCAUUUCCAGACGGGGAUAGGUAGGCUUUAAAGCUUUUCCGCUGGAAACCGGCGCUCCGCUUUCACUUGCUGACAAGUCAAACACUUCGCCACGAAGCGCCCAAUAUCAACUUUCAUCCCCGGCCACCAAUAGAGUGCUCUCAACUCAUGAUACAUCUUGGUGCCGCUCGGGUGAUCAGUGUAUGAAGACCGGUGGGCUUCUUGCAAGAUCAACUCGCGAAGCUCUUCAUUCUCGGGCACGCACCACCGGUUUCGAAACCGGAGCGCGCCACCGGCGUCCACACUAAAAUCGCCGCCUCGACCUUUCUCGAUGUUGCGUCGCACCUUUUGGAGACUCGGAUCUGCAGGUUGCAAAUUCUUGAUCCUCUCCAAUAAGGUCGGUUGAACAACGAGUGCCAUCAACUGAGUCGGAACCUCGGGAGCGACCACUUCGAGGUCCAGUCGCUCCAUCUCCAGCCCUAGGGGUGUUUGCCGGGUAACAUCAAAAGCGAGGUUCUUCACCGACUUUCUACUAAACGCAUCCGCGACCACAUUUGCUUUGCCGGGGUGGUAGAGAAUGUCAACAUCAUAAUCUUUUAAUAGCUUUAGCCACCGCCUUUGUCGUAUAUUUAGCUCCUUCUGGGUAAAUAAAUACUUCAGACUUUUGUGGUCGGUGUAGAUCUCGCAGUGUGCACCAUAUAGGUAGUGCCUCCACAACUUCAGCGCAAAGAUCACCGCCGCCAACUUCAAGUCAUGAAUGGGAUAAUUCUUCUCCUGGCCUUUUAACUGACGGGAUGCAUAAGCUAUCACUCUCCCGCCUUGCAUCAGGACACACCCUAGACCCAGAUAAGAUGCGUCACUAUAGACCGCAAAGUCCUCGCCCUGCACUGGUAAGGCAAGUAUCGGAGCCGACGUUAACCUUUUCUUCAACUCGUUGAAGCUUUGGUCACAUUCGUCGCUCCAAAUAAACUUGACGCCCUUCUAAGCGGAGUCACAAUCUUCGAAAAACCCUCCACAAACCGUCGAUAGUAGCCCGCUAAGCCUAUAAAGCUUCGGACCUCCGUGACGUUCGUUGGACGCGGCCAAUUCUCGACUUCUUCGACUUUCCUCGGGUCAACCGAAACACCACCCUCGGAAAUCACGUGCCCCAGGAAGGCGACCUCUCGAAGCCAGAAGUCACAUUUCUUUAACUUUGCGAAUAGCUUCUCCUCCCAAAGGAUUUGAAGCACUAUCCGCAAAUGCUCCGCAUGCUCCUCAUCGCUUCGCGAAUAGACCAAGAUGUCGUCUAUGAAGACCACGACAAAUCGGCCCAAGCACGCUUUGAACACAUGGUUCAUUAGAUCCAUGAAUGCUGCUGGGGCAUUAGUCAGCCCGAAAGGCAUAACUGUGUACUCAUAGUGUCCAUGCCGCGUACGAAACGCGGUCUUCUGAACAUCCUCCGACUUAAUCUUUAACUGAUGAUAGCCAGACUGUAGGUCUAUCUUCGAGUACACUUGUGACCCCUGUAACUGAUCAAAUAAGUCAUCAAUUCGGGGCAACGGGUACUUAUUCUUUAUCGUGACCUUAUUCAACUCUCGAUAAUCUACGCAGAGUCGAAACGAGCCAUCCUUCUUGCGCACGAACAACACCGGGGCUCCCCACGGCGAUACACUUGGCCUGAUAAACCCCUUAUCGAGGAGAUCUUGUAGCUGGUCCCUCAGUUCUCUUAACUUUGCCGGUGCCAUGCGGUAUGGGGCCUUUGAGAUCGGCGUCGUCCCGGGAGCCAAGUCUAUAAUGAACUUGAUCGCCCGAUCCGGCGGCAUCCCCGGUAACUGCGCAGGAAAUACAUCUGGAAAUUCCCGCACCAUUGAUAAUUCCUCUAAAUUCGGAGCCACUCGGUCCACCUCCACGAUGGUCGCCAAAAAUGCUAUGCAGCCGCCAUUGACAAACUUUCUAGCUCUCGUCGCUGAUACCGUCGCGAUGAAGCAAGAGCUUCGACAAGCUCGAUAAACGAACUCCUUCUGUCAUGGCUCCCAAAAGGUGAUCAAUUUAUUCUUACAAUUGAUCGUGGCGUAAUACUUCGAGAGCUAGUCCAUGCCCAAAAUGACGUCAUACGCCUCCAGUUUAUUGAGUUCCAAUAUCCGGAUGGGCAUUAUCCACUCGUCUACUUGUACUGGGCACGACGAGCACUCCGUGUAGGUAUUGAAUGACGACUCAGGGCCUUCAACUCGCCACUUGCCACUUGCUUCUAUAUGUAUGUCGUGCAUGCGUGCAAAUGCUCUACUAAUGAACGAAUGCGUGGCACGUGUAUCAAACAUAGCCCUGGAGCGAACUCUGUUAAUCAAAACCAUACCUGCCACAACGUUAGGCUCCUCGGCUUGGGUAGACUCCUCGGCUUGGGCCUGAGCGGCGAAUACCCGUCCGCUCGGCGCUGAUCGAGUCACCUCCGGCUCACGCGGCAUCAGGGCGCGUCCCGCUGAUACGGGAAUAUAUGAGGCCCCUCCAUGAUGAGGCGGGGGUGCUGGAGUCGACGCGGCUGACGGAGUAGACGAGGCCCUUGUUGGACAGUCGCGGCUUAUGUGCCCUUCCUGUCCGCAGUCGUAGCAUUUACCUUGACGUUGCCUACACUGCGGCGCUCGAUGACCCUGGCCUCCACAGAUAAUGCAUUGCUGCGGCCCACGGCCCCAUGACUGCGACCGCGGAUACUUCGGGGGCCUCCUGGAACUAGAUUGUCCUCCCGAAUCGCCGCCCGAUCGCUUCCUCCCUUUGUCUUGAAGUCCCGCCAGCAGCUCACAUUCCUCCCGCACAUGGGCAUCUCCAUGCUCUGCCCACAGCGCCCGGUCAAAAACUUCGGCGAAAGUCGUGAGCUUGAACAACUGCACUGCCCGAUAUAUCCACGGCCGAAGUCCCCGCAAGAACCAUUCGGCCCUGUCCCCGUCAUCUUUAACCACAUCUGGGACACAGUCUAUAAUAUGGGAGAACUCCUGCUCGUAAUCUGCCACUGAACGGUCCCCCUGUCUCAAUUUGCAAAACUUCUCCUUCAACUUCCGCUUCUUGGUGUCGAGGAAGUAAUUUCCAAAUAUUGCCCCCUUAAACUCCUCCCAGAGCAUUGGUGGAAGGUCAGAGGGCCGAUCCCGCUUCAACCGCUUUCACCACACUUUUGCAGCCUUCUCGAGGCAAUGGGUGGCGAGGGUACCUUGUCCUUCUCCGAGGUAUAUAGGUCCUCGAAGAGGGUCUCCAUAGAGUCAAUCCAGGACUCCACCACUGACGGCUCCACCUUCCCCCCUUCAAAGGCUGGUGGCUUAAACUUCAUGAAUUUAAUUAGAGCCGUCAGCGCAGGCUCCCGCUCCACUUCCUCAGUCGUCGUAUCAAGUGUCGCCGAACCCGAAGCUGUCGGAGGUGCACUUGCCGGCGGGGGACAGGCAGCCACCGGAACCGCUGCUAUGCCCUCACCCUCGGCCGCUAUCGGCGCGCGCGCCGAAGGUGUGGGUGGAUUGCGACCCUCUGUCGCUGUCGCGGUCGCCGCCGCCGCUCCACGAAUCCCUGAGCUGCUCAAACCGAGCCUCUUGGCACUGCAUCGCGUCCAACAUCGCAGCGACCUGCUCACGCAGUUCCUGUACUUCCUCCGAUCUUGGCUACUCGGGAACCGCAGAAGGCGGUACCGAAACAGACAUACGUACAUAACGUCUUGGGGACAUUUGCUCCUGAAAAGCAACAACUUGGUUAGUUAUCUUAAUCCGAUAACUUCCUAGCGUUCGCGAAAUAAACGACUCGGCAAUGAAAUUGGGAGGAAGUACACAAGUGUUCUAGUUCUGGACUCUUAGCGUCGCGUCGUCGGCCGCCGACACAACCACUACGAGCCAAGAAACUAGUGUCACUUGGAUCCGUCUCUAUUCACAGCUAGAGACAUAACUUCAACUCCGACCUAAUCGAUUAACCUCCGCCACCGUCAUGGGUUCACGUUCACUCACGCCCCUAUAAUCUUAAAGUUUACCAACCUAGGGUCUCCUAGGUCAUCCUAGACUCUCUCUUUACUUGCUCUUAACGCUUUGAUACCAUUUUUAUUUGUCAUGCCCCGAGACCGCUACCAAUUUGGUACGGUCCGGGCGCGUCGAACAGACGCUGAACGGACAGGACCUCCCCUGUCUGCCCAAGGCCAAGCAACUGAUCAUGUAUAAAAAUUUACCCAGGAGUCAAUUCAUAAAUACACGAUCGCAAGAAGCACCACCAGUGCUAACAAACAAGAGCAAGAUACAAGUAUGAGACAUACAAGUAAAUAAAGAGAGAAGGUUCUAUCUAUUACAUUCAUUCCACUUAAUACAUCGAUUUGCUUUCAAAACAUAAACAUAAAUAUACCAUGCUUUUACAUCUUCCAAAAUAACCUCACACCUAUACAUCAUCUACUCUCAAAUACAAAAGGGGACGGCUAAUGCAAAAGGAAGUAAAGCUAGCUACGUACAUAUACCACUAGGGCGCUAUGCCCUUGCCACGAUCCUCGUGCUCGCCGGGGACACUCGAACUCAGACCUGUAAAGAGUGGGGUGAGAACUAUCUUCCAUAGUUCCUAGUGGGUUCGGCCGCCGACUCCGCCGGUCUUCCCACUAGGUCCAAGUGGGCACAAGUAGAUAAACAGAUAGAUAGAUAUGAAAAGCUGUGAAACAGAAUAGUAAAGCUACACUACUGUGCCCGAAUCAUGAAUAUGGAGAGUGCAUGCACAAUGAAGUAGAUAAUCAACUAGCUUAUCAUAUGUCCAAGAAGUAAGGCUAUUUACUUGUCCAUUAAUCUCAUGGCUCACUCAAGGAUUCGCCUACUACUCACAUAGCCAUCUCGACGCAUAGGGAGACUAGACUCAAACUACGAAUCCGAGACCGUCUGCGGGACCCCACAUAGGCCAUCCCUCGUAGGGAUGCAAACGGGGCGGAUCUGGGGGCGGGAGAGUUCCCCCACCUCCCGCUCCAUUUCUUAUCUAGGCGGGACGGAUUCGGGGCGGGUUACUUUUCAUUUUAUUUUUGGCUCCCACUUACCGCUCCAUUCGGGGCGGAUCGGUGCGGGAGCGGGGCGGGAGCGGAGUUUUAACGGAUCGGGGUAGAUUGAAGGAAGAAAAGAGUCUCCCGCCUCCCGCUCCAUUUACUUGGCGGAUCGGGGCGGAUUCGGGGCGGGUUAUAUUUUUCUAUAUUUUUUGUCCCCACUUACCACCCCAUUCGGGGCGGAUUGGGGCGGAGCUACACCAACCCGGAUCCAUUUGCAUCCCUAAUCCCUCGCGACCCCAAAUAGACCUUCCCUAUCCCAUGGGACCCCAAAUAGGCUAUCCCACGUGACCAACUUCCACGCUUCACCCAUGGAGAAAAGUGCACCAAGAGGGAAAAGAGAGAGAUCAACACAUAAAUCCCAAGCUAAAAAUGAGAUCAAAACCAAAGAGAAGCAUGGAGGAGCUCCCCUUACCUUCUCCCUACUAUGGCAAGCUCAAAGAGCAGCCCUAGGGGCGUGGGUGCUGUUAUAGAGAAGCCACAUUGCAAAAACACCCCUGCAGUUUCGAUCAUUCAAAAACUGUCACUGCGUACCGGUACACGGGCCCACGUACCGGUACACAUCCUACAAAAUAGCCAAACCCGAGCCUCGGGUUGGCUGAGAAGCAGCCAAUGUUGAUGGCUGUACCGGUACAGCCAUCACCCCGUACCAGUACACAGCCCUCUGAAGGCUACCCGAGAGCUAACCAAAAAUCCGAUUUUUCGGGUUUUGGUGCUAGGCUUUAAACCUCACUUCUCGAGGUUCGAACCAUAGGUCUGAACACUAUCAACGACCCACCAGAAAGUCUGGAAAAGCUCAGGAUACAUCCAAUCACUCGAAUCUCGUAAUUUGCAAAGGUCCAGUGUGCUACAUUCACCCCUCCUAAAAAGGAGUUUCCUCCGCAAAACUCAAAAGUAAAGUACCUCAAGCCUCCAUCUGAAAAAAAUGGGGAUAGCGUUCCCGCAGUGCGCUCUCCAACUCCUAAGUGGCCUCGUGCUCGUCGUGGUUGCUCCAAAGCACCCUCACGUAGGGAAUCUCACAGUUCCAAAGCACCAUCACAUUCCAAGAGUAGGAAUGUUGGGCUACCACAGGCACUUAGGCGGCGCAAGCUGGACUACCUUGGGUAGGUCCUUAAUUGGAAAUGGAAAUCGACACAGUAUUGAGUGUGUUAUAAUCACUACUAGAUAGAGAGUAGUAGUUGGAUUACUUGGAUUUGCUUCUAGCAUAGUGUUGGACACUUGAGUAUACAUACAUACAUGUAGCAUGCUAGGAGAUGUUGUUCAUUGCAUUCACGUAAACAUUGUUUACUAUAGUAAAGCAUGAUCUUCAUAAAUUCAUAAAACAAAUUAUGAUUGUUACUUGUGGUCAUGUAGGGACAUACUUGUUCAUUAUGAAUUAAAGGUGCAUCUUAAUUAAGACAAUGUAGUAUCUUAGCAUUUUAAUUAUGCCUUCUUAAAUGCAAACCAUUCAUGAUUAUUAUUGCUCUUUUUUUUAACUUACCCUUUCUUUGGGGCCUAGUGGUGCAUUGAGCUGAGGUCAGUAAUUGCCCACUAGGAACUAUAAAUUAUAGUUCUCACGCCCUCUGCUUUCUGUUUUCUGUCAGAGCCUUCCACGCCAGGAGAGGCUAGGGACCGCGGGAAGGGCGUUGCUUCGAGCUAGCUCUUCUGUGAGGGACGACUUGAUAGGUGGUUUACCUCUCGAGGUUUUUAUUUUGGAAAGGUUGAGAGUUGUACCAGUGUACUAGAGACCACUCUUUUGUGUACCUUUUUGGACAGAUAUUGUAUAACUAUAUGUUUCACUUUUAUUGCUUUAGCAUUUCUCUUUUACCUUGUUGUAGAUGAUAGCUCUAUUUGUGCUCUGAUAUCUCUAGAUGUUAUUGAUUUUUUUAGCUUUAUUUUUUCGCUGUUGUUUAGAUGCCUUAUAUGUGUUGACAUAUGGCGGGUCUGGGCACGCUACCGGGAGGGAUUCUGCCGGUCCCGGGGCGUGACAGAUUAGUUUGGUAUCAGAGCCUAUGGUUGAGUCUUAGUGGACCUAGUAAACCUUAGGCCGGUUGGACUAUAGGAAAUAGGCUCGUGAGAGACGAGGUCUAAUCUAAUUGUUAGUGAAAGUAUUUCGAUUGGGUUUGAUGAUAACUCUAAAAAGUUAGAGUUUGAUCGGAGUGUAUGGCUUCUAACUUCGCGGAGGGUUACGUUGGCGACCGACAACGUAACAUCGGGAGUUAGUAGUGAAGGACACUUUCUUACUUUCGCAUGAUUUGGGUACUUAUCUAUUUGAGCGGGGUUGCGAUAGCGUGGGUUUUACUAACUUGCGCUUUUAUGAUGUUAUAGUGACAAUGCCGACGACUCGCUCUAUGUCUAUCGGAGCGGACAAUGCGACGAACUUUGAGGAGGUGGAGACCUCCGCUACCUCCGGAUCCGGCGAGGUCCGUGAGUUGAGGAGCCGGCUGGCGGCCCUCACUGAUUUGGUCGCGCAGCAGGCAGGGGCAGCACGACAGCAGGCGGAUGCGGCGCGCCGACAGGAGGAGCGGAUGGAGCGACUGGAGGAUUUGCUUAGGCUGGUGGCUGCCAGGGAGGCAUAGGUGUCCACACCCCCACCAGCACCGGCAGUGAUAGCGACACCGAGGGCGCCGUCUCCAGGGCCCGGUACUCCGCGGACAUCAUCGGAUAUUGCACCUCGGGGAGAGGAGUUCGUGGCACCACCGGCGCGAGCAUCUGUAGCGGGGGCGGUUUUUCCCGUGAUGGUUGAGGGAGCUGAGCGGGAUCAGCUCAUGGAGCGCCUUAGUGAGUUCAGGCGAUGCAGUCCACGGGAUGGGGAGAACGUGGACCACUGGAUAGUGGAGAAGUGGCUCAUGCAUAUGGAGAAGCUAUUUCGAGAUACCUUUGUGGAGCAGAGGGACAGAGUGUGGCUCGCCACUCACUUUUUGGAUAGCGAGGCCUACCGUUGGUAGUUGGAUAUCCUGGACAAUCCCAACACAGACUUGGCAGCGAUCUCUUGAGCGAGGUUCAAGGAGCUGCUUUUGGCGCACUACUUUCCUACGAGCGCGAAGAGGAAGAUGGAGCAAGACUUGCGCAGCUUGCGCCAGGAGGAGCGGUCAGUGGCCAAGUACGAGAGGGAGUUUUCUCAGCUACUCCACUGUGUACCAUUUGUGGUGCGGGAUGACGAGGACAAGGCCCGCAUUUUUGAGCGUGGGUUGCGGCCAUCGAUCUUCCGGUUGGUACAGUCCUCUAACCUCCAAACCUACCGGGAGGUUGUGGACCGUGCACUCAUUGUGCAGGCUGGAGCGGCAGACCUUCAGGAGCGACGCGAGGCCCUAGACAAGGGCAAGGGCAAGAAGACAGCGGCUGAGGGUGCGAGUCAUACGCACUCACGGAGGCCGCCGAGGCAUCCCAGGAGUCGGAGCCAGUCGCGAGGAUGUGGCCAGUCUACUCAGCGAGGAGGACCUGAUCGAUGCCAGGCUCCGCGCUGUGUGAUCUGCGGUGGUCCCCAUUUUCCACGGCAGUGUUCACGCAGUCGGGGCAGGUGCUUUCUGUGUGGCCAGGAGGGCCACUUCCAGUCGGACUGCACGAGGGGUUCAGCGUCAGCGCCAUCAUCGGCAUCAGCGCCAACUUCACCGGGUCCCAGCCAGGGGACACUUCCUGCACCUUACUAGGCCGGGCGGCCACCUGUCCAGCGGCAGAUGGAGGGGUCACGACAGGCCCCGAGCGGGCCCAUGUACGCGGCUCAGACUGAGGAUGCGGCAGCAGCCGAGAAUGUGGUCGCAGGUAUCAUUUUACUUUAUGGUAUUCGAGUACGAGCAUUGUUUGAUACUAGUGCAUCGCAUUCAUUCAUAGACCGGCUGUUUGCCGAGUUGCAUGGCAUCCCACUGACAUCUUUGUUGCAUCCUGGACGAGUUGUUGUACCCGAUCAUUCUUUAGAUAUUCGGGAGUACUGUCCCAGUUACCCUGUUCGGGUUGGAGAUUGGAUUAUGCCCGUAGACCUUUUAGCUUUGCGUAAACUUGGAGAGUUUGAUGUUGUCUUGGGCACGGAUUGGUUGACUAAGUACUACGCCACUAUCGAUUGCAAGGAUCGAACUGUGACAUUUAGAGAGCUGGGGCAGGCGGAGGUUGUGUACCGUGGAUGCCAGAGUUCGCUAUUUGCGAUGACGAUUAGCUCCUCGCGAGCUAGACAGUUGAUUAGUAGAGGUUGUGUGGCCUACUAGGCUACUGUUGUGUUGAGGGGUGAUGACGAUGCCCUCAGGAUUGAGGAUAUCCCCGUAGUGCGUGAGUUUGGAGAUGUGUUUCUUGCUGAGCUUCCAGGCAUGUCACCUGAUAGGGAGAUUGAGUUUGUGGUAGAUCUCGUCCCCGGGACUACUCCAAUCUCAAAGGCGCCCUAUAGGAUGGCACCAGCAGAAUUGAGAGAGCUGAAGGCACAGUUGCAGGAUCUUUUGGAUAAGGAUUUUGUGCGACCGAGUGUGUAACCUUGGGGAGCACUGGUCCUGUUUGUUAAGAAAAAGGAUGGAUCACUUCGCUUAUGCGUGGACUAUCGUGAACUUAACUGUAGCACACUGGACCAUUGCAAAUUACGAGGUUCGAGUGUCCGAGCUGUGUUCUGAGUUUUUCCAGAUUUUCUGGGGGGUCGUUGACUGUGUUCCGACCUAUGGUUCGUGUCUCGAGAUUUGCGGUUUAAAGCCUUGCACCAAAACCCGAAAAAAAGGGAUUUGGCCAACUCUUGGGUAGCCAUCUGGAGGUCUUGUACCGGUACAAGGUUGAUGGUUGUACCGGUACAAGGUUGAUGAUUAUACCGGUACAGCCACCGGGCUUGUACCGGUACAGAGCCGCUGAGCCCCCCCAACCCGAGCCUCGGGUUGAGAUUUUUCGUGGGGCUUGUACCGGUACAAGGGCCCGUGUACCGGUACAAGGGGACAUUUUUCGUGCAGUCUGGACUGCAGGGGUGUUUUUGCUUUUGUAGCUCUUCUAUUAGAGCCCCCACGCCCCCUAGGGCUCCUCCUGAGCUUGGAACAGCAAGAGAGAAGGUAGGAGAGCCAUCCUCUUCAUCUCUUUCAUUUCCUUGAUUUUGGUUUGGGUUUUUGGUGAUUAAACCCCCUCUUUUGCUCUUUUUUGCUUCUUUGGAGGCUUCUUCACCAUUGGAGCUUGGACUUGAGGCUUGGUGAGGGUUGAUCCUUGAAGUUUGAGAACUUUGAGCUUGGAUUGAAGCUUCUUAGAGGUUGGUAGCCCUCUCUCUCCAUCUAGACUUUGGAUUUCAGGUUUUCUUUGAGUUGAAACCCUAGAUUGUAAACUUAGGGUUGUUUUUGGGCGUUUUUGAUUUAGGGCUUUUGAGGCUCAAUCUUUUGGAUUAGAACCUUCCUCUAGGUUGGUUUGGGAGGGUUCUAGCUCUCAUUUGGGGCUUGAGAAGAGAUUGUUGCUCUUGAGGUGAGUUGGCCCCCUUUUGCUAGAUGGUUAAUGAUUGAGCUAUAGGCUCUUCAUUUCGUUUGGGUAACCCUACUUUUGAUGCUUCUAGGGUACUAGAAAGCUCGUGGACCACUUCGUUCGGCAAAACGAAGAAGUCGAUUUUGGUGGGUUUGACUUCGUGGAAACGUGGCAAAAUGGCCCUAAACUCUCUAUACUUGUUGUAAAGAAUUUUUAAAUGCAUUUCUAUGCUAAAUAAAAUUUAUGUGAAUUUUAGAACACUUAAAAUGCAUGUCUUAUGUGUAAAUUAAAUUUCGCUCUAUAUAGUAGAGCAAUCAGGGUUAUCUUCAUGCAUGUGAGGAGUGUUCGUGUGGACGAAUGAGAUUCUCGUCGAGUAUGCUAAAUUAGCUCACAUUUGUAUAAUUGGAAACAUUAUACUAAACUUUGACUUAGUAGCAUAAAGUGUCAUCAAGGGGCCCUUGGGAACUAGUAAACUAUGAAACUGCAACAUAGAGACAUAAUGUUAGUUCAUCGUACAUCUGCUAUAUAUUCCAUGUUAGAGACAUGAUGACAUAAAGAUAGGCCAUUUGGACAAUCGAUACAUUCCAUGUUUUAGACAUGAGGACUUGGUACUUGUGACGGACGCCUGACUACUUGCCAUUGUGCUCAUUCGCACAUGCUUGUGAGGGUCGCUCCCUACAAGCCGGCACUCCGGAGAUAGCCAUCGCGAUUCGUAUUCGCCGUGCGGGAUUGGGCGCCGAAGUGGAUUGCCGUGGGCCAGGCUCAUUCCUAGGGUGGGGAUGAUGACUACCACGGGGCCAUUAGGCUCGGCAUCGGCCAAACAGCCUACGGGUGGGUCUCAGGGCCAUAGACAGCCUUCGGGUGGGUCUCUCCAGAAUUGACUUUGAGUAUUCACUACGACAUGUGGACGGAUGAUGACUUAGUAUAUUGACUAGAAUAGUAAACAAUGACAUCUUUACUAUUUGCUUGAGGACAUCGUAUUGGUUGCAUACUUAUGCUUAUUCAUGUCAUACACAUCCAUAUACAUUCAUGUUAUAGUUGCUUUAUUACUUACGCAAAUCACGCUAAGAAGAGACAUUAUGCUAUAGUGAGUUACAUUUUACUUACCUUUUACUUUACUACAUUUUUGUCACUGACCUCCUCUUUGUAGCUUUUGGGCCUUGUGGCGCAGUUCACUGAAGUCAGUAAUUGCCCACUGGAAACUAUUUUUAAUAGUUCUCACGCCCUCUUUUUCGUGGUUUCUUUCAGAGCCUUCGGCACCGGCGGAGGCACGGGAUCGUAGCAAGGGGAUCGCAUAGCUAGCUAGCGAGGAGCGGUUCUUUGCCUAGGUGGUUUACUCUUUCUUUUUGUAGUUGAGAGAGUGAGAGAUUUUGUACCCAUGUAUAGAGACCACCUAUGUAUUUACUUUCAGCACUUAUUUUUGGGAUUCCUUUGUACUACUUUAUGUUUUUACUAGUGGAUUUCAGCUUUAUGUUCCUUUCUCUAUUGUAGGACUUAGUCUUAUAGCAUGUUCUGAUACUCCUAGAUAUAUUUUAUUAUUGCUUAUUUCAUCGUUGUUUUUAGACGCCUUAUAUGUUUUAGACGUAUGGUGGGUCUGGGCACGUGCCGGGCGGGCUUCCGCUGGGUCCCGGGGCAUGACAGAUUAAUUUGGUAUUAGAGCCUAGGGUUGAGUCUUAGGGGACCUAGCAAACCUUAGGCCGGUUGGACUAUAGGAAAUAGGCUCAUGAGAGACGAGGUCUAUUUGGCUGUAAGCGAAAGUAUUAUAAUUGGGUAUCUUGGAUAACUCUAAAAAGUUAGAGUUCGAUUGAAGGGUAUGGCUUCUAACUUCGCGGAGAGUUACGUUGGCGGCCGACAACGUAACAUCGGGAGUUAGUAGCGCAGAACACUUCUUCACUUUCGCAUGAUUGGGUUUUAUCUUUUGAGCGGGGAUACGAUAGCAUGAGUCUUUCUAACUUGCGCUUUUAUGAUGUUGUAGGGACGAUGCCGAUUACUCGCUCCCAAUUUGCCGGGGAGGACAAUGCGGCGAACUUUGAGGAGGUCGAGACCUCCGCUACCUCCGGAUCCAGCGAGGUCCGUGAGUUGAGGGGCCAGCUUGCGGCCCUCAUCAAUUUAGUCACUCAGCACGCGGAGGCGGCUCGACAGCAGACUGAGGCGGCGCGCCGACAGGAGGCGCGUAUGAAGCGCCUGGAGGACUUACUCCUGCAGCAGGCAGCAGCUUUUAGGGAGACGUAGGCCCCUACACCGCCAGCACCCGUUGUGGACGUCGCACCGAGGGCGCCGUCCCCCGCGCCCAGUUCUUCUCGUGCGGCGCCUGCGGCCGCGCCCCGGGAGGAGGUUUUGGCGGCACCACCUGUGCAGAGGCCCCCGGUUGGAGCUGCAUUCCCUACCUUGGUUGAGGGGGCGGAGCAAAACAGACUGAUGGAGCGCCUCAAUGAGUUCAAGAGGUGCAGUUCCCGAGUCUUCGACGGCGAGAAGGUCGACCACUGGAUCGUGGAGAAGUGGUUGAUGCAUAUGGAGAAGCUCUUCCGCAACACCUUCAUGGAGGAGAGGGAUCGAGUUUGGCUCGCCACUCACCACUUGGACGGCGAGGCCUACCGCUGGUGGUUGGAUCUCCAGGAGCACCCCAGCACUGACUUGGCAUCUAUCACUUGGACGAGGUUCAAGGAGCUUCUUUUGGUCCAUUACUUCCCGACCAGCGUCAAGCGGAAGAUGGAGCAGGACCUGCGCAACUUGCGCCACGGCGACCGGACUGUGGCCGAGUACGAGCGGGAGUUUUCUCGGCUUUUGCAUUGCGUGCCUUUCGUCGUGCGGGACGACGAGGACAAGGCCCGCAUUUUCGAGCGAGGAUUGAGGCCGUCCAUCUUUCGGUUCGUGCAAUCCUCUAACCUCCAAACCUACCGGGAGGUGGUGGAUCGCGCGCUUAUUGUGGAGAGCGGCGCAGCGGAUGUCCAGGAGCAGCGAGAGGCUAGGGACACGGGUAAGGCCAAGAGGCCUGCGGCUGAGGGUGCGAGCCAGACGCACUCUAGAAGGCCGCUGAAACAUCCGAGGAGCCAGCAGCGUGGACGCGGCUCAGCAGCGCAUCGAGGAGGAUCCGAUCGUCGCCGGUCUUCCCCGUGUGUGAUCUGCGGUGGUCCUCAUUACCCACCGCAGUGUCCACAGAGGGCGGGCAGGUGCUUCCAGUGUGGCCAGGAGGGCCACGUCCGUACUGAGUGCCCAAGAGGUUCUUCACCAGCACCGUCGACUGCAUCGGCACCGGCUCUACCAACCACCAGCCAGGGGACUCCCUCGGCAUAGUAUCAGCUUGGGCGGCCAUCUGUCCAGCGCCAGAGUGAGGGAUCCCGACAGGUCCCGAGUGGGCGCAUGUACGCCGCUCAGACCGAGGAGGCGGCAACAGCCGAGGAUGUGGUUGUAGGUUUCAUUUUACUUGAUGGCAUUAGAGUUCGUGCUUUAUUUGAUACCGGUGCAUCAUAUUCAUUUAUAGAUCGGCUGUUUGCCGAGUUGCAUGGCAUCCUAUUGGUUUCUUUACUGCAUCUGGGACAUGUUGUAGUACCCAACCAUAUUUUGGAUAUUAGAGAGUAUAGCCCCAGUUGCCCUGUUCGGGUAGGAGAUUGGAUCAUGCCGAUAGAUUUGCUAGCUUUGCGCAAGCUGGGGGAUUUUGACGUGGUCUUGGGCAUGGAUUGGUUGACUAAAUAUUAUGCCACGAUUGAUUGCAAGAAUCGCACUGUUACUUUUAGAGAACCGGGGCAGGCUGAGGUGGUAUUUAGUGGAUGCCAGAGUUCGCUGUUUGCGAUGACGAUCAGUCGAGCUAGGCAGCUGAUUAGUAGAGGUUGUAUAGCCUAUUUGGCUAGUGUUGUACUGAGGGGCGAGGAUGACACUCUCAGGAUUGAGGAUAUCCCGGUGGUGCGGGAGUUUCAGGAUGUAUUUCCAGCUGAGCUUCCGGGUAUGCCUCAUGAUAGGGAGAUUGAGUUCGUGGUAGAUCUCGUUCCAGGGACUGCCCCAAUCUCAAACGCACCCUAUAGGAUGGCACCGGCAGAGCUGAGGGAGCUGAGGGCACAGCUACAGGAUUUGUUGGAUAAAGGCUUUAUUCGACCAAGUGUCUCGCCUUGGGGAGCACAAGUUUUGUUCGUCAAGAAGAAGGACGGAUCACUUCGCCUUUGCAUAGAUUAUCGUGAACUCAAUAAGGUCACGAUCAAGAACAAGUAUCCGUUGCCAAGGAUCGACGACUUGUUUGAUCAGCUUCAGGGAUCGUGUGUGUAUUUCAAGAUAGACUUGCAGUCGGAAUACCACCAAUUGAGAAUCAAGCCUGAGGAUGUAUCGAAGACGGCUUUUAGAAAACGGUAUGGACAUUACGAGUUCACAGUUAUGCCGUUUGGGCUGACUAAUGCCCCGGCAGCUUUUAUGGAUCUAAUGAACCGUGUUUUCAAGCCUUAUCUAGACAGGUUCGUCGUGGUGUUCAUCGAUAACAUUUUGGUCUACUCCCGAAGCGAUAUGGAUCACGAGGAACACUUGAGGAUUGUACUCCAAGUACUUCAAAAAAAGGAGCUUUAUGCUAAGUUGAAGAAAUGUGAAUUUUGGCUUCGGAAGGUAGCUUUUCUUGGACACUUGAUUUCAGGAUCAGGUAUAGCUGUGGAUCCUAAGAAAAUUGAAGCAUUCAAGGAUUGGCCGAGACCGACGAGCGUCACGGAGAUACGGAGUUUUCUGGGAUUGGCCGGUUACUACCGGAGAUUUGUUGAGGGAUUUGCUAAGUUAUCUACUCCCCUCACGAGGCUUACGCAUAAAGGAGUCAAGUUCAUUUGGAAUGAUGCAUGCGAGAAAAGCUUCCUAGAGUUGAAGCAACGAUUAACUACCGCCCCGAUCCUGACCCUACCGGUAGCUGGAUUAGGGUAUGUGGUAUAUAGUGAUGCUUCACUUAAUGGUUUGGGCUGUGUGUUGAUACAGGAUCGCAAGGUGAUCGCGUAUGCUUCUCGCCAACUGAAGGAUUAUGAAAAAGAACUACCCGACACAUGAUUUGGAGUUAGCGGCCGUAGUAUUCGCAUUGAAGCUAUGGCGCCACUAUAUUUAUGGCAAGCGGUGUGAAGUAUACACGGAUCACAAGAGCUUAAAGUACCUGUUUACUCAGAAGGAGUUGAACUUGAGGCAGCGCAGAUGGUUGGAGCUACUCAAGGAUUAUGAUCUUACUAUUCUCUACUACCCGGGCAAGGCUAACGUGAUGGCGGAUGUGCUAAGUAGGAAAUCGAUGAAAAACUUAGCGAUGCAUUUGGUUACCCAACCGCAGUUGAUCGAGCAGAUGAAGCGGUUAGUGUUGGAGGUGGUGACUCCUGACACACCCUUGAGGUUGAUGACCUUGGUAGUGCAACCUACUCUUUUGGACAGAAUCAAAGAAAAGCAAGUUUCCGAUUUGGAAUUGCUCAAGAUUAGAGGUAAAAUGGUUGAAGGUUGCUGUAAUACACUGAACUUUCGCAAAUUGCAGAGUUCGAGUGUGUGGAAUGAUAUGUGGAUUUAUUCUACAUGUUCUAUAUGGCUUGGACAAGUUUUUGAAUAAGUUAGAGAGUGAUUGGAGGGUUAAAAGCGAGAAAGUGCAUUGAACUGGCAAAAUUGAGCCUUUUCUGCUUGCUGUACCGGUACAGCCACUAUGGUGUACCGGUACACAAUGGCAAAACGUGGCAGCAAGGCUAAUUUGGUAAUUUCACCUCUUGUCCCUAUCUACUUGACCCCAGCACGACCCCUGGGACUUGCUGGAGUGUGCUGGAGCUCAGAGGAAGAUUCCUCCAUAUUCUUCUUCUCUCUCUCUAAGAUUUUUCUCUCUCUCUACAAAGAAGUCGCCGUUUUGCACCGUUGUCGUCGCCGAGCUUGCUCUUCUCUGUUGGGGAGUGUCGCUGAGCCUUGGUGGACGUGUGAGGGAGUGUUUUGGAGAGCUUUUCGCAGCCCUGGACCAGUAACUCACUGGUUGCAAGCUUGAGAAGGUAAUCGGCUCACUUUUUCAAUUUUCGGCAAUCUAUUGGACGAGUUAUGUAUAGUUUCGGGAUUGUUGCUUCUAGUUGCCGAAAUCUAAGAAUUUCAGUUUCUAGCUGAAAUUCUGCAUUACACUCCUAGGUCAUAAUAAAAAUCGAAAGUAUCACCUACUAAACAACUCCGAGGUCCCCAAUUAGGCCAAUGUUGAAUUAGGAAGCCUGCGCGACAGAAGUAAUUUCCAAAACCCGCAUCAAAUGCCCGAGUUAAACUUCGUAUAUUCCUACUAGCUUCACAUAGCUAAAUAUUUUCAUUAAAGUUUUCAAAGUAGCUUACCCUGUCUAAGCGUUAAUCUCAGCUAAUUAAUCCAACUUUAAUUGCUGAAAUUCACAACAUUCAGNNNNNNNNNNNNNNNNNNNNNNNNNNNNNNNNNNNNNNNNNNNNNNNNNNNNNNNNNNNNNNNNNNNNNNNNNNNNNNNNNNNNNNNNNNNNNNNNNNNNNNNNNNNNNNNNNNNNNNNNNNNNNNNNNNNNNNNNNNNNNNNNNNNNNNNNNNNNNNNNNNNNNNNNNNNNNNNNNNNNNNNNNNNNNNNNNNNNNNNNNNNNNNNNNNNNNNNNNNNNNNNNNNNNNNNNNNNNNNNNNNNNNNNNNNNNNNNNNNNNNNNNNNNNNNNNNNNNNNNNNNNNNNNNNNNNNNNNNNNNNNNNNNNNNNNNNNNNNNNNNNNNNNNNNNNNNNNNNNNNNNNNNNNNNNNNNNNNNNNNNNNNNNNNNNNNNNNNNNNNNNNNNNNNNNNNNNNNNNNNUACCAUAGAUGUCAGUGAACUAUAAAUGUAGGAAAGCAAAGGUAAGUAAAAAUUUAACUUACUACAAAUGAUAUCUCUACUUACGCAUAAAAUACAUGAGUAUGGAAACAAACUAUUAGCCAUGAAGAAAAGUCUCCAACUAUCAUGCAUGAUGUUCACAAUGUGAAAUAGUAAAGUCCGUUGUCUACUAUUCUAGUUCAAAGUCCAGUAAUACUCUAAGUCCGUAUCUGUCCACAUGUCAUGAUGAAAAUGCUUCAAGUAAAUCUGAAGAGACCCACCCAAGGCUGUCUAUGGCCCUGGACCACCGAAGGCGUCUGCGCCGGGUGCCAGAUCUAAUGGCCCCGUGGGUAGUCAACCAUCCCACCCUAGAAAUGAGCUGGCCCUACCUGGCCAAUCCAUUCGGCGCCCAAUCCGCAGCGCGAAUUAUGAAUCGCGAAUGGCCAUUCUCGGAGUAGUGCGGCUUGUUUUAUUAGGGACGCGACCCUCACAAGAUCGUGCGAAUUGAGCACAAUGGCAAGUAAUCAAACUGAUCAGUGCAUGUACAAAUCCUCUGUUCAGACAUGGUGUUAUAGCAAAUGUCCUCGUGCAAGUCACUAUUUCAUCAUAUCUCAAUAUGGGAAUAUAGUUGUUGUCAAUUGUGCCAUUAUCAAGUAUCUAUGUUGCAGUUUAAUAAUUUCUAGGGCCAAGUGCCUCUUUAUGACCUAUGCGCCUCAUUUUGUUCCCCAACAUGGAUCCUAACAAGUCAAGACUUAUAAUUUCUAAUCAAAAUCGCAAGCAUUGAAACUUAUUUCCUUUCAUCUAUAGAAUAUUGUGCGAUGAUUAUUAACAAGCACAUAUUGUCUCUCUACUAAUAAGUAACUUUCUUAAUUGCAUAACAUAUGAGUUCCAAGCAUUCAAAAUUCGUCAUAAUGCUACAAAAUGAAUAUGCAUGAUUUGAAGAAAUGAAAGCAUUUAACCACUUAGGAGGAAUUUUCCUCAAUUACAGGAAGCCAAACCACCAGUCGUCAACGAAGGCUCUCGUUUGUCACGACGAAGGCGUCCACCACACUCCUAGUACACCUAAAGUUACGAGAACAAGUAGUCAUCUAGUCGAAACGUAAGCGACGCUAGUUUCAAUCAUUGAAGCAUUAUAGGGCUAGGGCGGUUUGAACGAAAAGCUCACCAGAUUUGCGAAAGAAGCUUCACAAUCUCAAAUGGGGCUAAGAGUCCUUCCAAUCGUAACCUUAAACAAAGGUUCUAAACCAUUAAUUUGGUACAUAUCUCUCCUUGUAGCUUUGGGCCUUGUGGUGCAUUCACUGAAGUCAGUAAUUGCCCACUGGGAACUAUUCUUAAUAGUUCUCACGCCCCUGUUUCUAUGUUUCCUUUUCAGAGCCUUCGGCACCGGCGGAGGCACGGGAUCGCGGCAAGGGUGUCGCGUAGCUAGCUCGCGGAGAGUUCUUUUGCCUAGGUGGUUUACUCCUCCAUUUUAUAUUUUGAGAGAGUGUGAGGCUUUUGUACCCUGUAUAGAGAGACCACCGUGUACUCCUUUUAGCACUUGUUAUGGGAUCCCUAUUGUACUUACUUUAUGUUUUAUUUAGUGGAUUUACAGUUUUAACUUUAUCCCUUGUUGUAGCAUUUAGACAUUUAUUAAGCUCUGAUACUCCUAGAUGUCUUCUAUUAAUGCUUUUAUUAUUGUUGUUUUUAGACGCCUUAUAUGUUGUAGACAUAUGGCGGGUCUGGGCACGCGCCGGGCAGGCUUCCGCUGGGUCCCGGGGCGUGACAUGGUUGUACCGGUAUAAGGUUGAUGGUUAUAUCGGUACAGCCACUGGGCUUGUACCGGUACAGAGCCGCUGAGCCCCCCGAACUCGAACCUCGGGUUGAGAUUUUUCGUGGGGCUUGUACCAGUAUAAGGGCCCGUGUACCGGUACAAGGGGGCAUUUUUCGUGCAGUCUGGACUGCAGGGGUGUUUUUGCUUUUGUAGCUCUUCUAUUAGAGCCCCUACGCCCCCUAGGGCUCCUCCUGAGCUUGGAACAACAAGAGAGAAGGUAGGAGAGCCCUCCUCUUCAUCUCUUUCAUUUCCUUGAUUUUGGUUUGGGUUUUUGGUGAUUAAACCCCCUCUUUUGCUCUCUUUUGCUUCUUUUGCUUCUUUGGAGGCUUCUUCACCAAUGGAGCUUGAACUUGAGGCUUGGUGAGGGUUGAUCCUUGAAGUUUGAGAACUUUGAGCUUGGAUUGAAGCUUUUUAGAGGUUGGUAGCCCUCUCUCUCCAUUUAGACUUUGGAUUUGAGGUUUUCUUUGAGUUGAAACCCUAGAUUGUAAACUUAGGGUUAUUUUUCGGCGUUUUUGAUUUAGGGCUUUUGAGGCUCAAUCUCUUAGAUUAGAACCUUCCUCUAGGUUGGUUUGGGAGGGUUUUAGCUCUUAUUUGGGGCUUGAGAAGAGAUUGUUGCUCUUGAGGUGAGUUGGCCCCUUUUUGCUAGAUGGUUAAUGAUUGAGCUAUAGGCUCUUCGUUUCGUUUGGGUAACCCUACUUUUGAUGCUUCUAGGGUACUAGGAAGCUCGUGGACAACUUCGUUCGGCAUAAUGAAGAAGUGGAUUUUGGUGGGUUUGACUUCGUGGAAACGGGGCAAAAUGGCCCUAUACUCUCUAUACUUGUUAUAAAGUAUUUUUAAAUGCAUUUCUAUGCUAAAUGAAAUUUAUGUGAAUUUUAGAACACUUAAAAUGCACGCCUUAUGUGUAAAUUAAAUUUCGCUCUAUAUAGUAGAGCAAUCAGGGUUAUCUUCAUGCAUGUGAGGAGUGUUCGUGUAGACGAAUGGGAUUCUCGUUGAGUAUACUAAAUUAGCUCACAUUUGUAUAAUUGGAAACAUUAUACUAAACUUUGACUUGGUAGCAUAAAGUGUCAUCAAGGGGCCCUUGGGAACUAAUAAACUAUGAAACUGCAACAUAGAGACAUAAUGUUAGGCCAUCGUACAUCUGCUAUAUAUUUCAUGUUAGAGACAUGAUGACAUAAAGAUAGGCCAUUGGGACAAUCGAUACAUUCCAUGUUUUAGACAUGAGGACUUAGUACUUGUGACAGGACAUAUGACUACUUGCCAUUGUGCUCAUUCGCACAUACUUGUGAGGGUCGCUCCCUACAAGCCGGCACUCCGGAGAUAGCCAUCGCGAUUCGUAUUCGCCGUGCGGGAUUGGGCGCCGAAGUGGAUUGCCGUGGGCCAGGCUCAUUCCUAGGGUGGGGAUGAUGACUACCACGGGGCCAUUAGGCUCGGCAUCGGCCAGACAGCCUACGGGUGGGUCUCAGGGCCAUAGACAGCCUUCGGGUGGGUCUCUCCAGAAUUGACUUUGAGUAUUCACUACGACAUGUGGACAGAUGAUGACUUAGUAUAUUGACUAGAAUAGUAAACAAUGACAUCUUUACUAUUUGCUUGAGGACAUCGUAUUGGUUGCAUACUUAUGCUUAUUUAUGUCAUACACAUCCAUGUACAUUCAUGUUAUAGUCGCUUUAUUACUUAUGCAAAUCACGCUAAGAAGAGACAUUAUGCUAUAGUGAGUUACAUUUUACUUACCUUUUACUUUACUACAUUUUUGUCACUGACCUCCUCUUUGUAGCUUUUGGGCCUUGUGGCGCAGUUCACUGAAGUCAGUAAUUGCCCACUGGGAACUAUUUUUAAUAGUUCUCACGCCCUCUUUUUCGUGGUUUCUUUCAGAGCCUUCGGCACCGGCGAAGGCAUAGGAUCGUGGCAAGGGGAUCGCAUAGCUAGCUAGCGAGCAGCGGUUUUUUGCUUAGGUGAUUUACUCUUUCUUUUUGUAGUUUAGAGAGUGAGAGAUUUUGUACCCAUGUAUAGAGACCACCUAUGUAUUUACUUUCAACACUUGUUUUUGGGAUUCCUUUGUACUACUUUAUGUUUUUACUAGUGGAUUUCAGCUUUAUGUUCCUUUCUCUAUUGUAGGACUUAGUCUUAUAGCAUGCUCUGAUACUCCUAGAUAUCUUUUAUU